UAAGCAGAACUUGACAUUCUCCUUGUGUGAUGGAUGACGAUGAUCUGCCACCCUGUUCUUAUCUUCUUCGUCACCGUUUCUUCCGGUCUGUGUCACUUAAGAUGCUGAUAUGCUAGUAUGUGGGGCAUUAGGAUGUGUUGAGCUAAGAGUUAACUGUCAUCUCUGUCUGCAAUCACCUGUUAGUGUCAAAUGUCCUGAAAGUCUGGCUGCUGACUAUGUGUGCAGCAGUCAGAUGUAGUAUCUUGUUUUAUAAGAUUGCAAAGGCCAUCGGACUUGUGCUGCUGAACUAAUUCCUUUCUCCCACAAUCUCCUACCUAGUCAGAUCACUGGGUUUUAUACUUUACAGUGAGCUGAGAUAUCAGAUAUGCACUUCUGGUUUUUUGUGUUGUUGUUGAUCCCUCUCUGCUUUCAAACUUACCAGUUAUCCAAUUAUUCUUAUAUAUUUUUUUACGUUAUUAUGUAUAAUUCAGUUGCCUUGUAGUUGCGGCUGAAGCCAUUAGCCAUAUAUGCCACAAUGCGUCCCAGUUAUGAUUUAUGAGCCAUAUGUGCCACAAUGUGUUCCAGUUGACUUUAUUCAGCUGGCUUCCAACUGUACAUCUGGGUCGUGUAUCUGAGUCAGUUUGAGCCCACUGCCUAGAAAAGUCAAGGCAGAGCCCACCACCCAGAAACGGUCUGGACAGUCCACGAGGCAAAAAAUACCAGUCAUGGAUGGUUGGCCCAUUUCUUUGUCCAAAUUCAAUCUCCACAAAAGGUGCAUAGAUCCUUCAGACUGUGUGCUCACUCUCACUUUGUCAAAUUCAGGUCGCUGUGGCCUAUAUAGCCACACCCGUUCUCACUCCCACUUUGUCAAAAUCCAGGAGGCACUUGCGGCAGGCGUGUUUUGCCAGAGACGACGCACCACUCGCCAACCGGGUCAAGUGUUCAGGUCGCUCUCUUGAUCAGUUCGGCCAACCAAGGUCGGUGUCGCGGCUAGAAGAAGAAGACGAUGAGGAGGAGGAAGGAAAGCUUCUGACGGAAGAAACUUAUUAACGAGGGGCGACAGCCAACAGGGCAGACCAAGACAUGCCGUCGCCGUCGGCGUUGUGAAUCCGCGCUCGUAAUAAAGGUCACGGACGGGCUCAUGAGCCCGUCGCCUUCCUCGCCGCCCCGGUUACUUCGGGACACGAACGCGACGGCGGCGACGGGGGUGAUCACACAAAUCAAUGCCGCUGCCGCGGGUGGCCCGUGAUGCGGCCGUCGGUCGGUCGAGCCACACCAUGACCUUGUCACGAUGCCAGGCGCGACGCCCGAUCGAUCGGUUUUCGUCAUGAAUGCGCGAUGCGGCAGUGGCACCGCGGAGGUCGACGCAGUCGGCGGCUCGACGUCCUCCGUUCGUUUCUCUCUACGUACGACUGUACUGUAUGUAUGUAGCAGCAGUACAUGCACACGGAGGACGGCCGCAAAUCAGUUACUCCUACUGACUACUCUGCUGAUCUGCCACUGCUUUGACGUUUCUCUCCUCGGAGGAUCGCUGCUGAUCACCAGGCAAGGGCAGGGCGCAGCGAUAUAUGUGCCUGCCACCCCAUGACGCACGCACGCACGUACGAGCCGAUCCAAGGCACAUGCAGCAUGCUACGUGUCAGGCGACCCGAUCCCGUGGCCGGUGCCGUGUUGACUUGGCGUCCACCCCGUCCGGCCAUUGCGACUGUGGUGGUGCAAGCAAAGCGGCGACGCCAUUUCGGCAAACGCACGCGCCGUGUCUCCGGUGUUUGUCUCCUCACGAGGGAGAAAGAGAGAGGGACCUAACUCACGUAUGUUUCGCUGGUUAUCUGGUGUCUAUUAAUUGUCCUGCUACAUUUUAGGAACCUAGGAUUAUUCCUCGUGCUUUACAGAGUUAGUGGCUAUCUAAACCUAAUUAAAGCAUUACUAGUAGAACCCUCAAACCCUCACUAGCGUUUUAAGGGUCCAAAAAUGAUUUUUUUGUGCACUUUUACGAGUUAAAAAACAGAGGCAAAGAUUAGAACCCUCGAACCCAACCCUUAUAACGGAAUAUUCCCCAUGAACGAUGUUGUCGUUGUGCGCGGGAGGUCGACGGGGCGGCCGCCGGCGACGGGGGCGACUAGCAGCGGCGGUCGCGGGCGUGGGCGCGGGAGUUGGGAGGAUUUUUCCCUCCCGGGUGAGUAUAACCGCCAAAUGAGGGUUGGGGUAGGUUUUGCUCCCCAACCCUUACUUUUGAGGAUUGGAAGAGGGUUUGAGGGUUGGACCUUUAAAAAUUUUUGAGGGUUUAAGGGUUAAGGGGUUCUAGUCUACGGCUUUUUUCGACGAAAACUGUAAAAAAGCAGUUAUUUUUAGGGGUUUGAACAUUUGAGGGCUCUACUAGUAAUGCUCUUAUGCUGCCACUGGCUACCACAUGCACGCGCCUUCGUUCUGUACAGAGACGGGCUAGUCCGGCCAGAAUUGAUUACACUUGCCAGGUUAACUAGUGAGUACUCCUAACUAGCUGCCCCUGCACACGGCUCUAAUUUGUAGGCUGCUCUUUUGGUGGCAUUGUGCGUGCAUGUGUCACACACAGUGUCAGUACUCGGUAGACAGAGCUUUGCCGGAGAAAACCAAGAGCAUUUUCAGCCGUUGGUCCCCACAGGAGGCGCUAAAAAUUGCCCCCGGGAGUGCACCGACGCAAAAUGCGCGCUGGGGCGUGAUGUCACCCAGUCACGGCGUCCAUGCAAUUUUUUUGAACGGCGCAAACACGGCGAGUUUAUGCAUAUUUCGGCGACUUCAAACCAAAUUCGACCAAACACGGCACAAACACGCCCGCUCAUAUAUAUUUAAAAUAUUUUAUAGAAAAAACGCACUGCUAGGCCCGUCCGCCGUCUCGCUCGCCUCGCCGCACCUCGCCAGCCGCCGCCCUUGCAGUUCUACAUGCCGAGGAGGCUGUAGAACCGCGUGUAGUCGCUGUCGUCCUCGUCGUCGUCGCCGCCGCCGCCUCCAUCGUGGCCGCCGUCCCUGCUGCAACCCUCCCACGAUUGGCGCGGCGGGUUGGACAGUCCGGGCGUCCGGCGGCGUCCUCGUCGUCAUUGCUGUCGAGGAUCACGACGUCGUGCUCGUCCUCGCGCCCACGCUUGCGGGCGGCGAUCUCCUCCAGGGCCCGGGUCUGCCGGGUCAUCACCGUUUGGAGGUAGUCGUCGCGCGCCCACCGCAGGGCGUCCGCGUCGGAGAAUCCACGCCGGGCUAUCUCCUCGUACUCCGGGGGGAGACUGGGCUCCGGCUUGGGCGCGACGAGGACGAGGCGCCCGGAAGUGGGGGUGGAGUCGGCGAUGCGGAUACCGGAGAUGCGGGUGCGCCGGCUGACAGGCGUGUCCUGGGGCUCCUGGGGCUCCGGCUUGACGGGGCGGAGGCUGGGAGAGCCGGUCGACCGACCGGACGAGGAGGAGGACGCCCGGGGGUCCAUGCGCCUCGGCGUCCACGAGCUCCCACGGCGGCGAGAGAAGGACGGCGGGGAGGGGUACUCUAGCCUCAGCGUGUUGCCGCCCUCGAUGUACUCGAGGACGGCCUCCAGCGUGCGGCCGGGCACGCCCCACCAUCGGCGCCGCCCUUCAGAGUUGAGCCUGCCGGAGGGCACGACGCCAUUGGUGGCCUCGAGCUACUCGGCGUGACGGCGGCGAAAGUAGGGCUCCCAGAGCGGGCUGUCGGGGACGUACCAUGGCCCCUCCCUCGCCGCCCGCGGCAGAGAGGCACGAAUACGCGCGAUCUCCGCACGACGCGCCGCCCCGGUGGGCGGUGGUGGCACCGGAACCCCGCCGGCGCUGAUUCUCCACGCCCCGGGCACCCGCAUGUCCGGCGGGACCGGGUACUCGGCCUCGUAGAGGAGCCGAGCUUCGUUUUCGUGAAGGUGGUGGCGGCCGAAGCCGUUCGCCGCCGCGCCGUCGCCAGGGAAUCGUUCGGCCAUUUCUACGAACUGGGACAGCGAGGGAAGAGGGAGGAAGGGGAGAUAGGGCGCGUCGGCGGUCGAGACUCUGUGCGUGCCACCGGCGCGCUGGGGGUCGGCUUAUAUAGGCGGAGGCGGCGCGAGCACGCGUGGCGGCCUCGUCUACGCGUGGCAUGCGCGGGGACGCGCGUCGUCAUGCCUUCACUGCGCCGCCCGUGAGGCAUCAACGGCGGAGGCUGACCGGCGCGGCAGCGCGCGGCAGUUUUGGCAUUGAUUCGCCGCGGGAAACGAUGCGAUGAGGACGACGAAGCGGCGAGAAGCGAGACGAGUCGCUGGCAAGGAGGGUCCGUGGCUCUUUCGCGCCAAAAACGGUUCACCCGGCGCCCCCAAGCGCCCCCAGCGCGCCGGGUUCGGGUUGGGUUCGCCGGCGCCAAUUUCGGGUCAACCCGGCGAAAAUUGGGCCCUUGGGGACGCGACUGGACCGAUUUUUUAUGCCGGCGACCGAAAAAUCGUCUUGUGGGCUUUGUUGGGGCGCGGCUGGAGAUGCUCUAAGCUCCACCCCACCUUCAACAAUUCCAAGAGUGCAACAACUUGGUGAGAUGAUCUAGCACACAGCAAAACUCGCUGCAUGUGAAUACACGCUUUCAUGGUGAUCUACUACAAAUCUAAGCACGUACUACGCCGCAUGCAUGCACGUACGUACCCUUCAAAACGUUCACGCGCAAGAAGAGGGCUGAGUUGCCGACGCGUGUUAACUGGAUCUGCGUGCAAGCCCGUGUCAGUGCACCGUGUGCGGUGAGACCGUGAGGCGACAUAAUCUGCAUGUCGCGCUUCAUUUCGCGCGUUAUAUCCUUGCUUAGACGACAGGACCACAGACACGAGCGGAGCAACGGCGUAACUCCCCGUCGCACGGUGCAGGCCGGCGGGCCCCGUCACGGGCAGCUCGCAUAACUGCGUAGCAGCACCUCAACAAUGCAUGGAGAGUACGGAAUAUGAGUAACGUAGCAGUGGUAGCUGACAUCGAUCUCCUAGUGGCUAUAGUCCCUCCCUACAAGAUCCAAGGGACAAUCUUAAUGGAGGCCUUCAAGGAAGGAAGGAAUAGUGCAAGAUCCAGAGAUCCAUCACCCGCAUGGCCACGUACAGAUACGCAGUACUCAUACGGCUACUGCAUGCAUGCAUGUAUACAUGUGUAUAUAUGGGCAUGCAUGUGCGUGUGCAGUGCACGGCAGAUACCACGUAGGGUAGGAGAGCUCAUUUUUAGUAAGAGAACCAAUAGUGCAAGAUCUUACGGAUACGUACGCGCUCCGGUUACAAACGUAACGUAGGUCACUUGUAACCACCAUAGCUAGCAAAAUCACGUACACAAGCGUGUGUAUUUUGUACCGUGGCAUGCAAGUUGGAGAGCUAGCCGGGUCGCCGCGCCAUCUGCAGUGAACAAUUGACGAAAACUACGAAGGCAUAGGCAUUCAGUGCUGCGGCACGUACGUGCGUAGCAAAUAGUGGUAGCUUAAGUGCACGCGCCGGCCUUCGCCUUUCAUCAUUUACACGUCCGUGCAGCCUCCGAGUUACCACAGCAUUAUUGCUCGCUUUCCCCUUUGCAGCGCCAUCGCCAUGCGCUGCAACACCACAGCCCCAUCCCCAUCACCCCAACAGUGAAGGGGGCAUGGCGGCCAUGCAUUUCCAAAGCUCGAUCUGCACAGGAGCACGUAUUUUUUGCCCCAUCCCCCGGAACAGGGCGCAGAUUAUAUACUAUGCCACGGAAGAGGAGACGGUUAUUUUCAACGGGCUCGUCGCAAAGAUGAAAAGUUUCAGUUCCAGCUCCCGAGAAGUUGUCACUCCCAAGAACUUGGCAAGAUGCGGCGACAAACGACCAAGUUCACGAGCUGUUAAAAGGGAAAAGACACGCCAAAGAUUAGCUUGCGCAACAAGGUUGGCGAGCAACGACGUUCAUGUCGGGCGUUUGUGUCGUUCGAGUUAGGAACCUUGCCGCCCUGUUGACUGCACGAUGUACGUGGGAUCCCUAAUUAACAAGGCCUACCAUACGUGCCUGUCAAAAGAGAAUACAAAAAAACCAUCGAGGUCACAGUUCAAUGGCAGGACAAAAAAUGAUGUUCAGAGAAACAACAAAAGGCGGAGUCAUUGUGUCUGCCUCCCUGUCAUGUACUCCUCCCUACAUUCUUUGCUUAAUUAUCGGGCUAAUCUUGACACCACGGGGCCGGGGCCGCCGCUACACGAUAGACCACACUGUCAAUGUCACCCCCAUGAAGUGCCAUGGAUUAUAUUACAUGAAAGGAAAGAAUCGAGUCGUAGACGAAGUGCGUUCGUGCAAUGAACACUAGAAAAUCUAGAAUGUGGUCAUUGUCGUGUCCAGGAAUCGGAUGCAAGUCGGUUUCGUCAUAAACAUGCUUGCACGACUUGGGGAGGUGGCAUGAUCGUGCUGUUUUUCUAAGCAAAGUGAGCUUCUCCUCCAGAUUCUUUUCAUAGGCUGAAAUAAAGUAAUCCAAGGAUCGAGAUUUUGCUAAGCAGAAGAAGAAAAAGAGAUCUUGCUCAGCAAAACAGUUCUCCCAAAAACCUAUUGUCGUCUUGAUUGGUAACCUUGACCCCCGGCGUUGCCUCCCGCAUGGGGCGACUCGGGCGGCGCCCAAAAACCUAGCUGCCGCCGUCACGCACUCCCUCCUCCCCUCCCUCCCCCGCCACCGGCCUAAGACCGGAGGCCGUCGGCGGUGGCGGAGCACAACACCUCUCUCCCAUGUCUCUAGGGGUUGUGUGGGCCUCGAAUCGUGUGGAGGCGCGCCCGAUCCGAUCGGCNNNNNNNNNNNNNNNNNNNNNNNNNNNNNNNNNNNNNNNNNNNNNNNNNNNNNNNNNNNNNNNNNNNNNNNNNNNNNNNNNNNNNNNNNNNNNNNNNNNNNNNNNNNNNNNNNNNNNNNNNNNNNNNNNNNNNNNNNNNNNNNNNNNNNNNNNNNNNNNNNNNNNNNNNNNNNNNNNNNNNNNNNNNNNNNNNNNNNNNNNNNNNNNNNNNNNNNNNNNNNNNNNNNNNNNNNNNNNNNNNNNNNNNNNNNNNNNNNNNNNNNNNNNNNNNNNNNNNNGGGGCGGUGGCGGCGCGCCAUCUGCCUUUGGAUCGGCAGCACCGGCGUCGAGGGCCUGGUGGUCGCGUCGGCGGCCCCUCCGGUCAGAUUUGUUCUGGCCGGUGCAGCCGGCGAUGGUGGUCAUCUCUUCCGUCAGAGGUGGUCGGUCUGCGGCUGGGUGGUCGGUUCUCGUGAUUCGUCAUGUAGUCCCGGCUAUGAGUCGGGGAUACAUAGUUGCCGGUGAAAAUCGAGCUGUUGGCAAGUGAUGGCGGCGUUUUGCGUCGUUACCUUCAUGAAGGCAUCGUCGUGUAACUGUUGUCGACCCACUCGUGCUGCUUCAGGGGAAACCCUAGGAUUUGGUCUUUCAGAUUGGACGAUGGCUGUACUACGGUGCCGUUUCUUUCUUGGGAGCAUCAUUUGUGGAGCAGUGCUGGAAGGCAAAGGUAGAAGGUGGAGCGGCUUUAUCUUGCACCGAGCUUCGGUGGAGCUCAAGUCAUGCCUACCCGACAGGUGUAUAUCUGGGUCAUUCCUAGUUGGCAGGUGCUACGCACGGCAGAUCUUCGAGAGUCUUCGCAUCUGGACGGACGAGCGCAGGGCGGUGUAGCCAUUGGGCGCCGUGGUGGCGUCGACGGUUGUCCGAGGCAAGAAUAAUGCGAAUCUCUCUCUUGAAGAUGGGUCAGUCACUAGUGCAGAACCGGGCAAUAGCACCGGUUCGUAAGGCCCUUUAAUGCCGGUUCCAUAACCGGCACUAAAGUGUGGGCACUAAAGCCCCCCCCUUAGUACCGGUUCAGCACGAACCGGUGCUAAAGGGCAACCACGUGGCACGAGCCAGCUCCGGGGGCCGGGAGCCCUUUAGUACCGGUUGGUAACACCAACCGAUACUAAAAUGUUUGGGGGGUUUUUGGUUUUAUGAUUUUUCUUUCAUUUAAUUUUGUGUUUUCCAUUUUAAUUCUUUUUAGUUUGCUGGUAUUUUACGAUACUGCACAUUGUACACGUUAUAUAUAUAUAUAGAAUUUCUAGUAGAACCAAUCAUAUAUAUAUCAUCAAUGUCUCACAAACCACCAUAUUAAUUCACACAUACACACAUGUAUAGCUAUAUACAAUUUCUCCUACAUAUGCAUGUUGCCUUCGGAGCUAGUGGCAUUAGCCUAAUUGGUGCGUUCGGAGCACGAUGACAAUUGGAAGUGGUUCAUGACCUGGUCGAUGGGGGCGGUAGCGGGUAAUAGUAUUCUCCCUUCGGAUUUAUGACCUGGUCGAGCAAAAAUCUCGCUAUUUCCUCUUGAAGUGCUUCUACGCGCUUCGUUUCUAGAAGCUUGUCCCGCACCUCUGUGAACUGUUAAGAAGGAGAUCAAUAUGCAUGUGUAUUAGUUGUGUGACUAGAUAUCGAUAAUGGUGUAAAAAUUAUGAAUAGUGUUCUGACAAGCGUACCCAUUCCCGUUUUUGAGAUCUGCUCCUUUCGGACGCCAUCAUGCGAAUGUUCUCGCAAACGCAGAAUGCACACAGAUCAGUCCCCUGCGCCUGCUUCAGGGCCUUUAUUACGAGAAUGGAAUUUAAUUUGAUCAGAUAAUAAUUAAUCAAGCAUGAUAAUUAAAGAGAUGACAGCUAGCUAGCUAGCUAGUACUACUUAAUUACUUACCUUGGGUCGAAACCUUUUCAGCUGUCGUUUCCAUUCGCCUUCCGUGACGCUGAUGAACCUUGCCCAAGCCCUACCCGCCGACAAAGAAAAUGAAUAAAGGGAUUAUUAAAUAGUUCAUAUCAUGAAAUGACGAACUAAAUAGGCCGAGAUAUAUAGUUAAUAAUGAUUGAAAUUACCUAUUGACUAUCCCAAACAAGAUGUUAUAGUCACUAUUUGCUUUGAGUAGUGAGUCCAGUAUUUCAACUGUUCCGGCGUCAACUUUAAUGAUACACAAGAUCCAGUGAAAUCUGAAUGCACACACGUUUGCUUGUCUUAAUUAAGCGGGUAUAUGUAAGCAAAAACAUGUAGCUAGCUAGUAGGCAAAAACAGAAAAUUUGUAGUACAAGAAAGUGUGACUCACUGGAAGUUGUAAGGAAGUAUUAUAUCUUCAUUGUAUUUGAGGCGCUUCAGGAACUCUAGCAUGCUGUCCUCUACCUGCUUUUCAUGAUGCUUGUUUAUUUUCCAUGUGUAUUCAUUAACGGUGUUUGGGUCAAUGAACCCAAUGCCAUAGCGUUCACCUUUUCUCAUUUCAUACAUCUUCAUCCUGCAUAAUACCACAGAAAAGAAUAUAGUAAGGAUAAUUAUAGGUAAUGAUUGAUCAAAAGGAUCAGUACAGCUAGCUUGAGACUUAAAUUACAGAAAGAAAACAUUUACAGACAAUAGCAAUUGGCGAUAGAUUUGUUGAGUGCGUCUUGAUUGUAUAACUGAAACAGUUUAGAAUACUCAACGGUCACAGGUUUUUGAUGGUAGUAAUGAUCCUUCUUGACUUGCACCAUGAGGGACUCUCGAUCGGAUCUCUUGGUAAUGUCCAUGUACCAUUGAUGCAAUUCAUACAUUCUCGUUGGGAGCUUCUUGACCUCUUCUGGCUUGACCAAAGGUUGGCCCCGGGCAUAUUUCCGUUUUAUUUCCUCCUCUGUAAGCACAGGCAUGUCCUCGAUCUCGAGGAGUUGUCCAACAGUGAUUUUGAGAGUUUCAGCCUGCAUUAUAUGCUCCUGGGUUAUUACCACAUCGCCCACCUCGGGAACGUAAACUGUUUACCCACAAUAAUAUUGGGCGCGCGUACUGUCACGUGUUGUUGGCGGCACAACAAGCGGGGGGAUCGAUUGCACCGCCUGUUCUCCCAGCUGGGCAACGGUUUUCCCGCAUUUUUUGACAGCUGCUUAUUGUUUGCUCGAGCUCGAGCUCGCCUCCUUCUGUAGACGUUGUCGAUAUAACUUCCUGAUGUGGCGCUCAUAGUCUGUGUCAACAGGCUUAGGAGCUGGUGGUUGAGCCAUACGAAUGAAGUGGUCAACUACUUCCACAGACACUUUCUCCCUUGGCGGCGGUGGCGGUUUCGGUUCAAAAUGGGCGUCGACUUCUGCCCGCACUAUGGCAUUGGUUUGCUCCUCGGUCUUGUCGUAAGCCCUCUCAGGAAGAGGAGUAGUGAGGUUUGGACCAUAUUCAUAGCGCUUGCCUCCGCCUGUACUUCCUAUACUAUGACCUCGACUCGUACCGCUACGCACCAUAGCUGCGGGGUGUCUCUUCUACAAUUGCCGAGGCAGCGGAGACGGCUGAUGGGGCUGAGUUGGACGAGGAGGAGUGGCCUAAAGCUGUGCCGGACUUGGAGAAGGAGUGGCCUGAGGUUGUGCCGGACUUGGAGGAGGAGUGGACGUCUGACGCUGUGUCGGACUUGGAGGAGGAGUGGCCUGACACUUUGCCGGACUUGGAGGAGGAGGAGUGGCCUCACGCGUUGGUGGACUUGGAGGAGCGGGAGUCUGCUGGCUCGGUGGCGGACUUCGACGAGGAGUCGGGUGACGCGGUGUCGGUGGCCUUUGAAAGAUGAUGCAAUCAUUUCUCCAUAGGAUGAUACGAUGUUUGGCAUCUCCGAGUGUGUGCUCCUCGUCACCUCCAGAAAUGUCAAGCUCUAGCCCCGAAUAUUGGUCCACCACCUCAUGAACCACGACACGAGCAUAGCCUGCUGGAAUCGGGUUGCAAUGGAAGGUUGCAUCUGGGGAAUUUGUAUAAGCAACACCGUCCGCCACCUUCAAGGAUAUGUUCUUAAUUUUGAAGUGUAGCUCGCAGUUAGUGUUCUCCGCGAUGUCAUCCACGGGGUAUCUAUCCAGCAUUGCGUCAAACGGGGCGGAACCCACGCUGCUUCUCGGCAUGGAUGGGGCGGUGGUAUCCAAUGCUGGAUCAUCCGCUAGCUGCUGCAGCUGCUGAGACCCCCUUUGCUGGCUAAGUGAGUCGAUCUGCUCCUGCUGCCGCUGGAAUUUGACUAUCAAGUCCGCGCGCGCUGAUUCUAGGCCUUGAAGGCGUUCAUAGUCCAGCUUCCACUUCUCCUCCUCCAUCUUCCUUUGCUUCUCCUCCGCAAUCUUCCUUCUCGCACGGGUUCUGUAGUCGGCGUUCCAGUCCGAAAACCCCUCAUACCACGGAAUAGCGCCCUUGCCCCAUGUUCUUCCCGGGUGUUCAGGAUUUCCCAGGGCACGCGUAAGCUCGUCGUUCUCUCUGUUGGGCUGGAACACCCCCGUUCGAGCCUCUUCUAUUGCAAAAAGUAUAUUAUCGUCGGCUCCGUUCGGACAUGCCUUCGUCGAAACUUUGCCUGUCUUCGGGUCCAACUCCCCCCCAUGCGCAUAGAACCAAGUGCUGCACCUGGGGGGCAGCUCUUAGUAACCGGAGAGACACCUGUAUCCUCCAUCUCUUUCUCAGACUUAUCCCACUUAGGCAUUGCCACCGCGUAGCCACCUGGCCCCAACUUAUGAAACUUAUCCUUUUUUCGGCAUUCUUCUUGUUUAUUCUCGGCCGUUCCUUAGCUAAUUCUGAAUCCUUGAAUUUCACGAAAUCGUCCCAAUGAGCACUUUGAUUCUCUAGUGUUCCCUCGAAUACUGGAGUCUUCCUUCCUCCCUUGACGUACUUGUCCCAUUCACGAUUCUUGUGGUUCUUGAAUGCAACCGCCAUCUUCCUAAAAGGAGCGUCCUUGACUUUCUGCACAUCUGCUUAUGUGAAAUGAUCUGGUAGGGUGAAAUGUUCCAUGAGAGUAUCCCAAAGCAGACUUUUUUGUCUGUCGUCGACAAAAGUAAGAUCUGGACGUGGCUUUGCUGUCUCUCUCCAUUCUUGAAGGGAGAUCGGGAGUUGGUCCUUCACAAGAACUCCGCACUGACGAACGAACUUGUCCGCAAUCUUCUUAGAUGCUAAUGGUUCGCCAUUAGGUUUGAUUGCCUCGAUAUUAUACUUUACGCCCUCCUUCAACUUUUUGUUCGGGCCUCGUUUCGUCCUGUUGCCUGAAGAUUUGCUCGAUCCGGAUGGCUGAAAGAAGAAAGAUCGAUUCGUUAAUAUAUCUUCAACUCAUAUAGAACAUGUGAUGAUCACCAGAUGCCUGCUUAUAUAAAUAUAUAUACCUCGCCGGUCUUUGUUGUUUCAGGAUCAACAUGUUCUUCGUCAUUGUCAUAAUCGUAGUUGACUUCAUCAAUUCGGUUGUCGCGAUCGAAUAUCAUAUCACCCUCUCCGGUGUUGUUUAGAAAUUCGGAGCCGUCAUAAUCUUCUUCAUUCUGAUCAUCAUCUGGCCUGCGUAUUAUAUCAAACAUGGUCUGUUCUCCCUCUCUGUCGGUAUUGUCCGCCAUAGCUUUUAUUUAACUAUGCCAAAAGAAAUAUAAAACAAUUUAGUAUUCAAAUUACAUCAUCUCGAAUAAUAGAUAUAAUCUCGAAUACAUCGUCUCGAAUAAUAGAUAUAAUCUCGAAUACAUCGUCUCGAAUAAUAUAUAAUAUUGAAUAGUACAACACUGGCUAGGUAGCUAAUUAAAGAUCGAAUACUGCAGAAGAAUCUAGGACACUCGCGGUUCCUGCGACGCGGGCGGUGGACACCCAAAGAGAAGGAACCCUCACAGGAUCAUAGCUGAGGUGAAAUCCCUGAAGAAAACUGCCAGGUAUUGGAGAACCUGCCGCCCUCUAACGCAACCAUGUAGCGAUGGACGUGCUCGUCCUCCUCCCUGACACGGCGACAUACCACCUCCUGCGGGGCCGGCUCCCUCCGCACCAGAACUGGCCCACGCGAACGCCACCAAACGAGAUCAGGGUCGACGACGGGACCCGGGGCCGGGUUCCUCAUCAAGCGGCGCGCCCCUCCAGGCAUCACCUCCCAGUGCCAGCCCGGCGGAGCCCAGUCCCGGACAUGGGUCAGUCGGACAUCGUCGCGGACGGGUCGAUGGCGAGGAUGCGGGCCGGGCAUCGUCGAGAACAAAUACUAGCUAUAUGCCCGCAAAAAGUAACAUUUUUUUAAUGAUUGGAUUUUGAUAACUAAAAUUUCUAACAUUUCUAUAUAACACUAAUUAUGCUAUCAUUGCAUAUGUCAAAAUUCUAAAUGCUAUUUCAUACUAAUUAAGCAUCUAACACUAAAAACAGAAAACACAACUUUUAUACAUCCAUUAAAAAACUAAAAAAACAAGAUUAUAUAAAAAAAUUCCAUACUAAUUAAACACUAAUUAUAUCCAUCUAACAUGCAUUCAUAUAUAUAUACUAGUGAAAAAAUAAUGAUCUAAAAAAUCUAAACUAAUUAAACAUACAAGAUACGUAUAUACUAAUAUAUACAUGCAUUAAUUCAUACAUAUGUACGUGUGUGUGUGUGUGUGUUCAUCAUGCUUGUGUGUGUGUAUGGGCUCGGGGAGGGGCGGCGCCCAUGGUGGCCGCCGNNNNNNNNNNNNNNNNNNNNNNNNNNNNNNNNNNNNNNNNNNNNNNNNNNNNNNNNNNNNNNNNNNNNNNNNNNNNNNNNNNNNNNNNNNNNNNNNNNNNNNNNNNNNNNNNNNNNNNNNNNNNNNNNNNNNNNNNNNNNNNNNNNNNNNNNNNNNNNNNNNNNNNNNNNNNNNNNNNNNNNNNNNNNNNNNNNNNNNNNNNNNNNNNNNNNNNNNNNNNNNNNNNNNNNNNNNNNNNNNNNNNNNNNNNNNNNNNNNNNNNNNNNNNNNNNNNNNNNNNNNNNNNNNNNNNNNNNNNNNNNNNNNNNNNNNNNNNNNNNNNNNNNNNNNNNNNNNNNNNNNNNNNNNNNNNNNNNNNNNNNNNNNNNNNNNNNNNNNNNNNNNNNNNNNNNNNNNNNNNNNNNNNNNNNNNNNNNNNNNNNNNNNNNNNNNNNNNNNNNNNNNNNNNNNNNNNNNNNNNNNNNNNNNNNNNNNNNNNNNNNNNNNNNGCCGACGGGGACGCGGGCGGUGACGGCGACGGCGUCGAUCGAUCGGGGCGCACGGGCGGUGCUUCAAUGGGGAAACAGGGGAAGAAAUAGAGGGAGAAUAAAAUUUUCGUAAGUGUUGUAUAGCACCUUUAGUACCAGUUGGAGCCACCAACCGGUACUAAAGGCCUGUUUUGGCCAGGCCAAGCGGCGGGAACCGCACCCCCUUUAGUACGGGUUGGUGGCUCCAACCGGUACUAAAGGCCCCCCUUUAGUACCGGUUGGUCCACGAACCGGUACUAAAGGGGGUGCGCUGGCGCAGGUGCGGUGCGUAAGUUUAGUCCCACCUCGCUAGCCGAGGGGCGACCGUACUGGUUUAUAAACCCCCGUGCGUAGCUCUUUCGAGCUCCUCUCCAAAGCAGGCCUAUUGGGCCUACAUGUUCUGUGCGGCCAUGUUGGCCUAUUGGGCCUUUGCGGGCCUGCAUCCUGGCCCAACAACAGGUUGGGUUUCUAGUCGUAUGCAGGCCGUUCUGGCCUAGUAGGCGGGCUUUUUUUAUUUUUUUUUGCUUUAAUUUUUUUUUGAGUUGUUUUUUUUGUGUAUUUAGAGUUUCUUUGUGAAUAUUUUUGCUUUAGGUACAAAAAAUUACAAACUUUCUGUUAGUGCCCGUAGUUUUCAAAUGUGAAUAGUUUAAAUUUUGAAUUAUUUGAAAUUAGUGUGAAUCACUAGUUUGUGAAUAACUUAACUUUAAAAAUCAGUAAAGGCAUGAAAGAAUUUGUUUGCACAUAAAAUUUCUUCGCGUUUCAAAUGCCAAAACACAUAAUUAACUACCCUAACUAUUACAGAGAUUCCCUUCUGGGUGUGAAACACAGAAGAAAGUGAUGAUAGUGAAGCCGAUCACAUCCCAGAUCUUUGGGUGUGAAACUUUUUCUUCGUGUGUGUCCCUUUGCGCCGUAACCAUGGAAAAUCUUCAUCAUUUAACGGGAUGCUCGGGUCAAUAUGUUGGGGAACGUUGCAGAAAACAAAAAUUUUCCUACGGUUUCACCAAGAUCCAUCUAUAAGUUCAUCAAGCAACGAGUAAUUAGAUGCAUCUACGUACCUUGUAGAUCGCGAGCGGAAGCGUUCAAAGAACGGGGAUGAGGUAGUCGUACACGACGUGAUCCAAAUGACCGGAGAUCCUAGCACCGAACGGACGGCACCUCCGCGUUCAACACACGUACGGAACAGCCACGUCUCCUCCUUCUUGAUCCAGCAAGGGGGAAGGAGAGGUUGAGGGAGAUGGCCCCAGCAGCAGCACGACGGCGUGGUGUUGAUGGAGCUGCAGUACUCCGGCAGGGCUUCGCCAAGCACUAUGGAGGAGGAGGAGGUGUUGGAGAGGGAGAGGGAGGCAACCAAAGGCCAAGGUAAGAAGUCCCCCAUAUCCCCCACUAUAUAUAGGAGGGCCAAGGGGGGGGGGCGGCCCUAGGAGAUCUAAUCUCCUAGGGUGGUGCGGCCAAGGGGGAGGAAUCCCUCCUCCCCAAGGCACCUAGGAGGUGCCUUCCCCUCCUAGGACUCUUCCUCCUUGAAACCCUAGGCGCAUGGGCCUCUUGGGGCUGGUGCCCUUGGUCCAUGUAGGCCAAGACGCACCCCCUACAGCCCAUGUGGCCCCCCGGGACAGGUGGCCCCACCCGGUGGACCACCGGGACCCUUCCGGUGGUCCCGGUACAAUACCGAUGACCCCGAAACUUGUCCCGAUGGCCGAAAUAGAACUUCCCAUAUAUAAAUCUUUACCUCCAGACCAUUCCGGAACUCCUCGUGACGUCCGGGAUCUCAUCCGGGACUCCGAACAACAUUCGGGUUACUGCAUAUACAUAUCCCUACAACCCUAGCAUCGCCGAACCUUAAGUGUGUAGACCCUACGGGUUCGGGAGACAUGCAGACAUGACCAAGACGACUCUCCGGUCAAUAACCAACAGCGGGAUCUGGAUACCCAUGUUGGCUCCCACAUACUCCACGAUGAUCUCAUCGGAUGAACUACGAUGUCGAGGAUUCAAGCAACCCCGUAUACAAUUCCCUUUGUCAAUCGGUAUGUUACUUGCCCGAGAUUCGAUCGUCGGUAUCCUAAUACCUCGUUCAAUCUCGUUGCCGGCAAGUCACUUUACUCGUACCGUAAUGCAUGAUCCAGUGACCAGACACUUGGUCACUUUGAGCUCAUUAUGAUGAUGCAUUACCGAGUGGGCCCAGUGAUACCUCUCCGUCUCACGGAGUGACAAAUCCCAGUCUUGAUCCGUGUCAACCCAACAGACACUUUCAGAGAUACCUGUAGUGCACCUUUAUAGUCACCCGGUUACGUUGUGACGUUUGGUACACCCAAAGCACUCCUACGGUAUCCGGGAGUUACACGAUCUCAUGGUCAAAGGAAAAGAUACUUGACAUUGGAAAACUCUAGCAAACGAACUAUACGAUCUUGUGCUAUGUUUAGGAUUGGGUCUUGUCCAUCACAUCAUUCUCCUGAUGAUGUGAUCCCGUUAUCAAUGACAUCCAAUGUCCAUAGUCAGGAAACCAUGACUAUCUGUUGAUCAACGAGCUAGUCAACUAGAGGCUUACUAGGGACAUGUUGGUGUCUAUUAUUCACACGUGUAUUACGAUUUCCGGAUAAUACAGUUAUAGCAUGAAUAAAGACAAUUAUCAUGAACAAAGAAAUAUAAUAAUAAUACUUUUAUUAUUGCCUCUAGGGCAUAUUUCCAACACAAUAUUCACUAUGAAUGGAGCAAUUUCAUCAAACUUUUCAUAAUCUUCUGACUUGUCUGUCUUGUCAUCCACUCCCACGAUGUUUCUCUUCUCAGAAAGAACUAUGUGCCCCUUUGGCUCAUCGUACGAUGCAUUCGCUUUCUUAUCUUUUCUUUUUAUUGGCUUGGUAGACAUGUCCUUCACAUAGAAAACAUGUGCCACAUCAUUGGCUAGGACGAAUGGUUCGUUUGCAUACGCAAGAUUGUUGAGAUCCACUGUUGUCAUUCCGUACUGCGGGUCUUCCGUUACCCCGCCUCGUGUCAUAUUGACCCAUUUGCACCGAAACAAAGGGACCUUCAAACCACAGUCCAUAGUCAAUUUUCCAUAUGUCCUGUAUAUAACCAUAAUAUGUUUCCUUUCCCGUCUUGGUUUCUGCAUCAAAGCGGACACCACUGUUUUGGUUGGUGCUCUUCUUAUCUUGGGUGAUCGUGUAAAAUGUAUUACCAUUUAUCUCGUACCCUUUGAAAGUCAUUAUAUUCGAAGAUGGUAACUGAGACAGCAAGUACAGGUCAUCUUCAAUAGAGGUGUCAUGCAUGGUACAUGUCUGCAACCAGCUGGCGAAACUCCUGGUUUGUUCACGUGUAAUCCAGUCAUCAGACCGCUCCGGGUGUUUGGAGCGUAGCAAAUUCUUGUCUUCAUCCAUAUACGGAGCCACCAAGGCAGAAUUCUGUAGAACUGUGUAGUGUGCUUCAGUGAGAGAAUGUCCGUCCAUACAUAUUAUUUGUUCCCCCCCCCUAGCAUGCCUUUUCCAUCCAUUCUGCCCUUAUGCCGCGAUUCAGGAACACCAAUCGGCUUAAGGUCAGAAAUAAAGUCAAUACAAAACUCAAUGACCUCCUCAUUUUGACGGUCCUUGGAGAUGCUUCCUUCUGGCCUAGCACGGUUAUGAACAUAUUUCUUUAAGACUCUCAUGAACCUCUCAAAGGGGAACAUAUUGUGUAGAAAUACAGGACCCAAAAUGUUAAUCUCUUCGCAUAGGUGAACUUGGACGUGCGUCAUGAUGUUGAAGAAGGAUGGUGGGAACACCAACUCGAAACUGAUAAGACAUUGCACCAAAUCAUUCUCUAACCUUGGUAUGAUUUCUGGAUCGAUUACCUUCUGAGAGAUUGCAUUGAGAAAUGCACAUAGCUUCACAAUGGCUAAAAUAAUCAACUUGUGACAUACAAUAAGUCAAUGAUAAAUAGGUUUAUGUAUAAAUACAUUUGUAAUGCAUAAUAAUUUAUCAGUUUAAUCAUAUAAAGAGUAAAAUUUGACCACUUAUUUGGCUUUUAUGUUGGAUAAUUGGAAUAUUGGGCCUAGAAUUUUAAAAAUUACCUCACAUAAUCUUAUUCGGAUACGGAUAUAUCCACUUCCAUAUCUAUAUUUGUGUCAAAAUCUCCUACCAUAUUUUAUUUUUUAUUUGUUUAAUAAAUUCGGAUACGGAUAAUUUUCAUUUUCAUUUUGGUUCGGAUGCGGAUGUUUCGAAUACAAAUAGGCAUUUUCUCGAAUACGAAUAUCGGAUAUUUCGGAUUAUCCGCUACCACUUUCCACCCCUACACAAUUGUAACACGCCCACUACCACCUCCUCCUCCCCUUCGUUUAUAUCACGCGCGCGUGAUAAAACUAGGCUAUAGUUAAUUAGGUGAUGGUGAUGGUGGUGGGAAGAAGUUAGUGUUAACCGAUCCCCAAGUGGGGAGAUUUCAUCACCCUUGGAAAGGAGAAGCAAGAAAGUAAAUAAUACUCCCUCCAUUCCAAAAUAUAGUGCGCCCGCGCUUUUCGAGGUCCAACUUUGACCAUAAGUUUAACCAACGAGACCAACUGCGGCGGGAGAAAAAAUUAUAUAAUUGAAAACUUCAUUCGAAUACGAGUUCACUAAUAUAAUUUUUGCUCCCACCGCAAUUGGUCUUGGCAGUUAAAUUUACGGUGAAAGUUGAAGCAUGUGGAUAAAGGAAGCACUACAUUGUGGAAUGAAGAGAGUAUACGUGGUGAAAACUGGGAGCAUGAUACAUGAUCUGAUGGCGUUCCUUCGGGCAAAGGAUAAGCGUUCGUUGGACUUGAGUGUAUUGGAGACGCUCUGGCCACUGGGGUUAGGUUAUGUGAUGCCAAUGUCAAUCACAUGUUGGAAUGCUGCACAACCCACAUGAACCCUGCCUGGUGCUCCGGCGCACCGCGCAAAUAGUUGUUCAAGUUGCGCACUAGUCCCGGCCAAAAGGUCUCUCAGAUUUUGUUCGUGGACGUUAACGUACUCAUCCACCUGAUCGACGUAACAGUUAUGUGUAGCCAGCGAGCCGUAGUCGACAAGAUCAGCAUGCCGCCACUUGUCAACUCUUCACCGGGCUGACGAAGUAUUUUCUUAGAAAAGAAGGAUGAACCCCGGCCUCUGCAUCUGGGAGAUGCAUGCGGUUAUUUUAUUGAUUAUUCUCGAGGAUCUUACAAAGUAGAACAACAAUAUGCCUGAAUCCACCAUCUUGACAAUAUCUGUCGCUACUUCUAUCCAAAUGAUGAAGGGAUGCAAGCUGGGCCUCAUACCCAGACCUCUCACCUAAACCUAACAUCUAAAAUCGAAGGCCCCGACCGAGCCAUCUGCCGGAUCCGGGGCUCAAAACGGUCCGACGCAUUCACAUGUGUCGUCGCCGCCAUCUUUCACUGGUCCAUCUUCAAAGCAAAUAGAUGUGACAACCUUGACAGGUUUUUCGCCAUCGACGCCCAGUGGCGGAGCCAGGAUUUCCCGAACGCCCGCAACCCCGCGCUCUCCGUGCGCUCACCGCAACCGCCGCCCUCACUCCCCUGCUUGGCCGCGCGCACUCGCGCGCGCCCUCGCCGCGGCCCCCUGUACCGCCCCAGUCAUCGUCCNNNNNNNNNNNNNNNNNNNNNNNNNNNNNNNNNNNNNNNNNNNNNNNNNNNNNNNNNNNNNNNNNNNNNNNNNNNNNNNNNNNNNNNNNNNNNNNNNNNNNNNNNNNNNNNNNNNNNNNNNNNNNNNNNNNNNNNNNNNNNNNNNNNNNNNNNNNNNNNNNNNNNNNNNNNNNNNNNNNNNNNNNNNNNNNNNNNNNNNNNNNNNNNNNNNNNNNNNNNNNNNNNNNNNNNNNNNNNNNNNNNNNNNNNNNNNNNNNNNNNNNNNNNNNNNNNNNNNNNNNNNNNNNNNNNNNNNNNNNNNNNNNNNNNNNNNNNNNNNNNNNNNNNNNNNNNNNGCUAACGCCCGCCUCCCCUCUUCCCUGCCCGUGGUGACUGACCAAGGCCGGUCGCCGUUCGGUCCGGCCGCACCUCUCCACGGCCCCGGCGCCCUCCUCCGGUGGCCGCCGCUUCACCACGGCACCGCUCCGCCCGUGGCCUCGCCGUGGCCAUGGCCACCCGCGCCUGGCGCCUCCACUGGCCUGUGCAGGCGCCCAAUCGGGCUACGGGUUGCGCCUGCACCCCCCUGCACACGACGCCCGUUAGACCGAACCGAUAAGGCCUUUGGCCCACUGAUAAAGGGGCCCCAGCCCUAGGACAAAAAUAAAUAAAUAAAUAAAAAUAAAUAAUAAAAUUAAUAACAAUAAUAAUAAAUAUUAAUUAAUUAACCAGAUUAAUUAACUUAAUUAAUUGAGUUUAAUUAAUCUAAUCAAUUAACUAAACUAAUUAACCUCCUUAGUUAGUCUUAGACAAUGACAGUAGGACCCACAUGUCAGUUUGACUAAGUCAACUGACUAGUUGACUGCUGACAUCACCCUGACAUCAUGCUGACGUCAUAAUUGCAAUUUCUAAUUAAAUUAAUUCUGUUAAUUCUAAAAAUAAAUUAAAUCUUUAAAAAUUAAUAUAAAUUAAACUGUAGCUCGGAUGAAAAAACUUUGUACAUGGAAGUUGCUCAGAACGACGAGACGAAUUCGGAUAUGCAACCCGUUCGUCCACCACACAUCUCUAAUAUACCAAACACGCAACUUUUUCCCUCUGAUUCAUCUGUCCGAAAACGCGAAACACCGGGGAUAUUUUCCCGGAUGUUUUCCCCUUCGUCGGUAUCACCUACUACCGCGAUUGGGCACACCUAGCAUCGAUACUUGUCAUGUCAUGCAUCGUCAUGCAUCUGUUUGCAUUGUAUUCAUUGUUUCUUCCCCCUCUUCUUCCGCUAGACACCGAGACCGAUGCUGCUGCUGCCCAGUUCGACUACGGAGUUGACGACCCCUCCUUCUUGCCAGAGCAACCAGGCAAGCCCCCCCCUUGAUCACCAGAUAUCGCCUAUUCUACUCUAUACUUCUUGCAUUAGAGUAGUGUAGCAUGUUACUGCUUUCUGUUAUACCUAUUCUGAUGCAUAGCCUGGCCUUGUUACUACUGUUGUUACCUUUACCUGUAAUCCUAUAUGCUUAGUAUAGGAUGCUAGUAUAUUCAUCUGUGGCCCUACAUUCUUGUCCGUCUACCGUGCUAUACUAUCGGGCCGUGAUCACUCGGGAGGUGAUCACGGGUAUAUACUAUAUACUUUAUACAUGAUACAUGUGGAGACUAAAGUCGAGUCGGCUGGUGGAGCACCCGCGAGUGGAUCUUUGUGGCGGAGCGACAGGGCAGGUUGAGACCGCCUAGGAGAGAGGUGGGCCUGGCCCUGUUCGGCGUUCGUGGAUAUUUAAAACGCUUAACGAGAUCUUGGUAUUUGAUCUGAGUUGGCUACGAGCCUAUACGCACUAACCAUCUACGUGGGAGUAGUUAUGGGUAUCCCGACGUCGUGGUAUCAGCCGAAGCACUUCAGACGUCAGCGACGGAGCGGCGCGCCCCGGAUUGGACUGGAACGCCUGCUAGGUUAGGUCUACUUCUGGCCGCCCUCGCAACGUGCAGGUGUGCUAUGGGCGAUGGGCCCAGACCCCUGUGCGCUUAGGUUUAGACCGGCAUGCUGGCCUCUCUGUUUUGCCUAGGUGGGGCUGCGACGUGUUGAUCUUCCAAGGCCGGGCAUGACCCAGGAAAGUGUGUCCGGCCAAAUGGGAUCAAGCGUGUUGGGUAAGUUGGUGCACCCCUGCAGGGAAGUUAAUCUAUUCGAAUAGCCGUGAUCUUCGGUAACAGGACGACUUGGAGUUGUACCUUGACCUUAUGACAACUAGAACCGGAUACUUAAUAAAACACACCCUUCCAAGUUCCACAGACAACCCGGUGAUCGCUUUUCCACAGGGCGACGAGGAGAGGAUCGCCGGGUAGGAUUAUGCUAUGCGAUGCUACUGGAGAUGCUACUUGGAGAUGCUACUUGGAGGACUUCAAUCUACUCUCUUCUAUAUGCUGCAAGACGGAGGCUGCCAGAAGCGUAGUCUUCGACAGGAUUAGCUAUCCCCCUCUUAUUCUGGCAUUCUGCAGUUCAGUCCACUGAUAUGGCCCUUUACACAUAUACCCAUGCAUAUGUAGUGUAGCUCCUUGCUUGCGAGUACUUUGGAUGAGUACUCACGGUUGCUUUCUCCCCCCUUUUUUCCCCUUUCCUUUCUUCCUGGUUGUCGCAACCAGACGUUGGAGCCCAGGAUCCAGACGCCACCUUCGAUGACGACUACUACUCUGGAGGUGCCUACUACUACGUGCAGCCCGCUGACGACGACCAAGAGUAGUUAGGAGGAUCCCAGGCAGGAGGCCUACGCUUCUUUCGAUCUGUAUCCCAGUUUGUGCUAGCCUUCUUAAGGCAAACUUGUUUAACUUAUGUCUGUACUCAGAUAUUGUUGCUUCCACUGACUCGUCUAUGAUCGAGCACUUGUAUUCGAGCCCUCGAGGCCCCUGGCUUGUAUUAUGAUGCUUGUAUGACUUAUUUAUGUUUUAGAGUUGUGUUGUGAUAUCUUCCCGUGAGUCCCUGAUCUUGAUCGUACACAUUUGCGUGCAUGAUUAGUGUACGAUUGAAUCGGGGACGUCACAAGUUGGUAUCAGAGCCGACUGCCUGUAGGAAUCCUCCUUCCACACUCCUUGGCCGAAGUUAAAUGAAUUUGCUAACUCUAAGAUUAGGAUCUCGUGAUCGCAUCCACCCGAAGAUCGCCUUAUUGCAGAGGAUCGCCUGCUACAUGAGAAGAUUCCGAAAAUACUCUCUGAUGUUCUCUCGAGACUUGUGCCCAUCACUUUGGCUAUUCCUGACCACCGAUAAAUCCGUAUGGAUAACUACUUACACUUGACAUUCUUACGAUCAUCCCCCAUUGAUCUUGUUAUUACAAGAUACCCCGAAGUUUUCUCUAUUGUUCCGAGAAUACUUUGUGCCUACUGCCUAGCAGUUCUUUGCCACAUGAAUACCCCUUCGAAUAAAUCCUCGCACUUGUCGAGUAUCCGCUCAUCCCCAGUUGUUCAGGUGUUUCACAAAAGUCUUCGAAAUAAUAUUCGAUCUUCCGAAAAUCCUUUGGGGCCUUUGGCUCUUGAAAUUCUUGCUUGCUUGCAUUAUGGAUAAUCCCAUAAGUCUCGUAGUCAUAUUGACAUUCCUUGUCAUUACCAUUUUGAGUCUGUUGACUCAAUAUGUUUGCGAAUACACGCAAUCAUCAUUGAUCCUUAUAAAUUACUUUUCCGGCUGAGCUGCCAUUCUUUUUACUGGAAUUGGUUCUUGACCAAUCCAAUUGUCUUUGAUUGUACCCUACGGCUAUUCAACUUAUCCACCCCAAAUCAGAGCAUUGCUUCUGAACCCUUGAUUUGGAAAUCAUAAUUCCUUUGCAUUUGACAAUUGAGUUAGUCAGUUGUUUCUAUAAUCUGCUUCCUCUAGUUGAGUACCGAUGCUCACGUCAGAUCCCUUGUGGACCACCAGAUCCUUUGUUGGAUUUUAUCUGACAACGCCCUUCAUAUUCAAUAAACUUGUGAGCCUUUUCUCGGAUACAUAAUGCCUUUGGUAAAUUGUAUCGUCUGCUUUCUCAACCAUGCUCUGCCUUCGAGCUUGAGUUAAUUACUUCUAAAAGAUUCUGGUAUAGGAUUCUAAGAUGCCCCGAUGGGUUGAACCUAUGCCUUCCUUAAUAUGUGUGAACUCGAAAGUUUUCACGAGUCGUACUCUUCUGGUAUUUUGCCAGAUAAAAUUUCAAUGCUAUAACUUCAUCGAAAGUGAGAAGUGAAUGAAAGGGUAUGCAUUGGAGAAGUGGGAGUCGACCUUGAACUUUGUGUUCAUGCCCAUGGACACGAUGUAUAUCCUAUCAUGGAAGCUUCUUGUAACAAUAACUAUUUCCUUGAUAACUAACAUAUGGUAUCUGUGAAUUGAUCCCUUGCAACCGUGGUUCCGACCAUGAUUGUUCUUCUUUGAUCUCAUUUCUCGGACAAGUUAAAACAAUUGUCUCCUAUGGAUCAAUACACCAGUCCAACCUUUACUUUGAUCUUGUGUCGAGUAUUACCCCCCUGGUAUCUCGAGAUUAUCAUGGAACUGCAUAACUCCUUAUGAGUUCUUCAUCAAGUGCUACCUUCCCACUAAUUCCAAUUUUUCACAGGCUCUGAGUUAAUAAACACUCAAAGACACCGAUAACGGAACCGAGUCCGCACUACGGUUCAACAACUCUUCAGUAAGCUUCUAUAAGUACGAGUUUGUACCCGAUCACGCCAUUCCUAGCCUGUUUGGCUAUAUCAUUGUCGUGAUGAUUUUAACUGUGCUACCCGGUCCUUCUUCUCGGAGCACAAUUUUCGACGAUGAACUAACCUUACGUCGAUCCUCAUCGUCAUACCAUUUCGCCUUGAACAACAAGCUUGGUUUCGAGUUGUGUCGUACCCUUGGUUCCAAUAACCUUUCACUUCAUCAUUACUUUGACUUGAUGUCGUCGCCGAUCGAUUACAUCUUCAUGAACUCUCGCGACAAAGGUGUCGUGAUCAUCAACAUUCUGAGCUCAUCCAGGAUAUCAAUUGAAUUCAUGAUGAGAAAUACCAUCCUUGCCCUCGAUGAAUUGUAUUAUCAUCGACCACUUUAUUGCCUUCCCACCAACACAAGCUUGUUCAUGCUUGGUGUUAUACCUUUAGUUCCUUGCUAUCCAGCAAUUGUUCUUCUUAACCUUGGAAUAUUGCCAUCUUUUAUGUCAAGGAGGUCGUGGGAAUUUCACCACCUCUUAAGAAUUCUUGGUAUGGUGAUACUUCCCACCAUCACCAUUCUUUCUUGGGUCCUCGUGUUGAUUCCAACCGGGGUACCCACAAGUGAACGGUGUUGUUUGGAUUCUGCACUUCUAGCAACCCAAUUGCUUUGGAGUUAAUGAUCGAUAAUUCGUUCUUAGCCUAUCAGUUGCUGAACCACCAUUCUAACGCUGAUCAUGCUACUAUAAGCCCAUAUUUCGGGUGCACUUUUCAACCAAUUUUUAAUUGUGUAUGUUUUUCUCGAGCUUACAUCAUUAUAUCAUUUGAUCCGACAAAUGUUAUCUCCUUGUUCACAUAACUGUGGAAAUCCACAUUUUUGGAUACCUCGUUGAAUUAUCACUGAGUCCAUCAGCCACCCCCUCAUCCUCUCCUUGGCUUAAUGAUGAAUCCCUUCGUGUAUCCAGAGUCUGAUCUUUGCUUGAAGACCAUGCCAAUGCUAUCUCUAAGCAUGUCUGUGGUACUCCAAUUUUCAACAAAAACAUUUGAAGCCCAAUGCUAAAUGUUUUCUUGCUCAAUUAUCCAAACACCGCUGUAUGGGUAAUGUCAUGCAAUUUCUCUCCCCUGCCUAAAGAAUUUUCUACAUUAUAUCCUUUCAUGGAUAUCAUGCUCUGAUUGUUCUUGGGAAGGAUAUACCCCUGAAAUAUGUGUUUAAACACAUUUUCUUUCCAAUGUUCUGAUUAAAUCUGAUGGACACUUUUCCCUUUCCAUUGGUUUUCUUAACCCUUCUUGUGAUCUAUAUUAUAUAAGCAGUAGUAAUCUUCUGCUUAUGUAGCACACCUUGGUGUACAACCGUGUCAGUAAGACCCUGUUUCUACUGUGGAUGACAUUCCGGUAGCCACCGAUGGACGGGAACCUUGCCUAUUGGUCUGCCUCGUUCAACGAGCAGGAAAAUGGUUCUCUUCGUCCCUCGCCCUUGGUAUCGACGUUGUUGCCGACUUAAUCGACAGGCUACCCCCUGACAUGCCUUGCUUGCAUGAUCACGCAAGACGUCUCCGCCCUUCCUACUUUUAACCACAUGGUGGGCCCAUAACCCACAGUUCCAUAGGAUCGAAACCUGACUCUCCUGUACACCCUGUUCUCAAACUUAUUCCCCACGCUUGACUUCGUAUGUAAUUCACGGGCCACCUGCCUAGUGAUCUAUUCUGGUAUCAGGCGCAAUACUUAUUCCCAUUGCUCUGAACCCCUUCACAUUUCGUAUCAGGCAACAAAUGAUUGCAUAUCCACUUGAAACUUCUUAUUGCACCUUCGUACCUUGCUCUCGAUAUUUUCUUCAGUUUCAAUUCGAGAGUUACUUUCUACCACCUUCCCCGAUGUUAUCGACCAGGUAGUCAACCUUGUAGAGGUCCGCUCUCUCGGAAUAACCACCCUUUAUUCUUUCGUAAGAACGAUGGAGAUCUCGAAGAAAGGAAGCCGACUUCAUCAUGAUGACUGAAGCAUAGGGAUGAAGACAUCAAUGUUAUGGAUCGACCUCUUCGAGAAGAGCAACAACGAUCAAGAAGAAUCACUAGGAUUUCGUAACCUAUUCUUCCCCCUUACACACCUCUUAAAUCUCGGGACGAGAUUUCUUGUAGUGGAGGAGAAUUGUGACGCCCGGAUAAUCAAGCUACACUAACCUCUGCUAAUGAUGCCAUGUCACCACUCUUACAGUCGUAAAUCUCACGAUGAUUCAAUCCCAUUCGAAUUCAAAAUUCAAAAUCAGGUCAAACGGUAAAGUUUUCAAACAUUAAAAUUUAAAUGUUCUAGGGGUGGCAAAUAAUGCUUAGGUAAUUAUGGUGGAGGAUCACAUUUUUAUAAAAUAAUUAAAAGCACUAAACUAAAUAAAACAGUGGCUUAAACAAAUAAUUAAAUGCAUUUUAUAAAUAUUAAAACAUUAAACUAUUUUAUUAGGUAUGAGAAAUUCAUGUGGCAAUAGAGUAUUUAUAAAUACUAAUUUAGGGGCUAGUGGUAUAUUUUAUAAAACUAAAAGUAAAGUAAAACUAAUAUGAAAACAGAAACUAUAAAUAAAAUAGGAAAGAAAAAAAGCAAAGCAAAAGCAAAAAGAAAGAAGGAGACCCCCUGAUGUGCCGUGGCCCAGCUGGCCAUCGGGCCCCCAGGCCGGCCCAGUCGCCCCCCCUGUAUAACCCCCUCCCCACCGAACCCUAGACACCGACACACCCUCUCCCCCUCCCGAUCCAAUCUGGAUCAAGGGGAAAACCCCCCCACUCCACCUCGCUCUCUACCCCNNNNNNNNNNNNNNNNNNNNNNNNNNNNNNNNNNNNNNNNNNNNNNNNNNNNNNNNNNNNNNNNNNNNNNNNNNNNNNNNNNNNNNNNNNNNNNNNNNNNNNNNNNNNNNNNNNNNNNNNNNNNNNNNNNNNNNNNNNNNNNNNNNNNNNNNNNNNNNNNNNNNNNNNNNNNNNNNNNNNNNNNNNNNNNNNNNNNNNNNNNNNNNNNNNNNNNNNNNNNNNNNNNNNNNNNNNNNNNNNNNNNNNNNNNNNNNNNNNNNNNNNNNNNNNNNNNNNNNNNNNNNNNNNNNNNNNNNNNNNNNNNNNNNNNNNNNNNNNNNNNNNNNNNNNNNNNNNNNNNNNNNNNNNNNNNNNNNNNNNNNNNNNNNNNNNNNNNNNNNNNNNNNNNNNNNNNNNNNNNNNNNNNNNNNNNNNNNNNNNNNNNNNNNNNNNNNNNNNNNNNNNNNNNNNNNNNNNNNNNNNNNNNNNNNNNNNNNNNNNNNNNNNNNNNNNNNNNNNNNNNNNNNNNNNNNNNNNNNNNNNNNNNNNNNNNCGUUCGGUCCGGCCGCACCUCUCCACGGCCCCGGCGCCCUCCUCCGGUGGCCGCCGCUUCACCACGGCACCGCUCCGCCCGUGGCCUCGCCGUGGCCAUGGCCACCCGCGCCUGGCGCCUCCACUGGCCUGUGCAGGCGCCCAAUCGGGCUACGGGUUGUGCCCGCACCCCCCUGCACACGACGCCCGUUAGACCGAACCGAUAAGGCCUUUGGCCCACUGAUAAAGGGGCCCCAGCCCUAGGACAAAAAUAAAUAAAUAAAAACAAAUAAAAAAUAAAAUUAAUAACAAUAAUAAUAAAUAUUAAUUAAUUAACCAAAUUAAUUAACCAAAUUAAUUAACUUAAUUAAUUGAGUUUAAUUAAUCUAAUCAAUUAACCAAACUAAUUAACCUGCUUAGUUAGUCUUAGACAAUGACAGUAGGACCCACAUGUCAGUUUGACUAAGUCAACUGACUAGUUGACUGCUGACAUCACCCUGACAUCAUGCUGACGUCAUAAUUGCAAUUUCUAAUUAAAUUAAUUCUGUUAAUUCUAAAAAUAAAUUAAAUCUUUAAAAAUUAAUAUAAAUUAAACUGUAGCUCGGAUGAAAAAACUUUGUACAUGGAAGUUGCUCAGGACGACGAGACGAAUUCGGAUACGCAGCCCGUUCGUCCACCACACAUCUCUAACAUACCAAACACGCAACUUUUUCCCUCUGAUUCAUCUGUCCGAAAACGCGAAACACCGGGGAUAUUUUCCCCUUCGUCGGUAUCACCUACUACCGCGAUUGGGCACACCUAGCAUCGAUACUUGUCAUGUCAUGCAUCGUCAUGCAUCUGUUUGCAUUGUAUUCAUUGUUUCUUCCCCCUCUUCUUCCGCUAGACACCGAGACCGACGCUGCUGCUGCCCAGUUCGACUACGAAGUUGACGACCCCUCCUUCUUGCCAGAGCAACCAGGCAAGCCCCCCCCCCUUGAUCACCAGAUAUCGCCUAUUCUACUCUAUACUUCUUGCAUUAGAGUAGUGUAGCAUGUUACUGCUUUCUGUUAUACCUAUUCUGAUGCAUAGCCUGGCCUUGUUACUACUGUUGUUACCUUUACCUGUAAUCCUAUAUGCUUAGUAUAGGAUGCUAGUAUAUUCAUCUGUGGCCCUACAUUCUUGUCCGUCUACCGUGCUAUACUAUCGGGCCGUGAUCACUCGGGAGGUGAUCACGGGUAUAUACUAUAUACUUUAUACAUGAUACAUGUGGAGACUAAAGUCGAGUCGACUGGUGGAGCACCCGCGAGUGGAUCUUUGUGGCGGAGCGACAGGGCAGGUUGAGACCGCCUAGGAGAGAGGUGGGCCUGGCCCUGUUCGGCGUUCGCGGAUAUUUAAAACGCUUAACGAGAUCUUGGUAUUUGAUCUGAGUUGGCUACGAGCCUAUACGCACUAACCAUCUACGUGGGAGUAGUUAUGGGUAUCCCGACGUCGUGGUAUCAGCCGAAGCACUUCAGACGUCAGCGACGGAGCGGCGCGCGCCGGAUUGGACUGGAACGCCUGCUAGGUUAGGUCUACUUCUGGCCGCCCUCGCAACGUGCAGGUGUGCUAUGGGCGAUGGGCCCAGACCCCUGUGCGCUUAGGUUUAGACCGGCGUGCUGGCCUCUCUGUUUUGCCUAGGUGGGGCUGCGACGUGUUGAUCUUCCAAGGUCGGGCAUGACCCAGGAAAGUGUGUCCGGCCAAAUGGGAUCAAGCGUGUUGGGUAAGUUGGUGCACCCCUGCAGGGAAGUUAAUCUAUUCGAAUAGCCGUGAUCUUCGGUAACAGGACGACUUGGAGUUGUACCUUGACCUUAUGACAACUAGAACCGGAUACUUAAUAAAACACACCCUUCCAAGUUCCACAGACAACCCGGUGAUCGCUUUUCCACAGGGCGACGAGGAGAGGAUCGCCGGGUAGGAUUAUGCUAUGCGAUGCUACUGGAGAUGCUACUUGGAGAUGCUACUUGGAGGACUUCAAUCUACUCUCUUCUAUAUGCUGCAAGACGGAGGCUGCCAGAAGCGUAGUCUUCGACAGGAUUAGCUAUCCCCCUCUUAUUCUGGCAUUCUGCAGUUCAGUCCACUGAUAUGGCCCUUUACACAUAUACCCAUGCAUAUGUAGUGUAGCUCCUUGCUUGCGAGUACUUUGGAUGAGUACUCACGGUUGCUUUCUUCCCCCUUUUUUCCCCUUUCCUUUCUUCCUGGUUGUCGCAACCAGACGUUGGAGCCCAGGAUCCAGACGCCACCUUCGAUGACGACUACUACUCUGGAGGUGCCUACUACUACGUGCAGCCCGCUGACGACGACCAAGAGUAGUUAGGAGGAUCCCAGGCAGGAGGCCUACGCUUCUUUCGAUCUGUAUCCCAGUUUGUGCUAGCCUUCUUAAGGAAAACUUGUUUAACUUAUGUCUGUACUCAGAUAUUGUUGCUUCCACUGACUCGUCUAUGAUCGAGCACUUGUAUUCGAGCCCUCGAGGCCCCUGGCUUGUAUUAUGAUGCUUGUAUGACUUAUUUAUGUUUUAGAGUUGUGUUGUGAUAUCUUCCCGUGAGUCCCUGAUCUUGAUCGUACACAUUUGCGUGCAUGAUUAGUGUAUGAUUGAAUCGGGGGCGUCACAGUGGCCCCCUCCAGGAAAGGCAAGCCUCGUGCCCCGCGCAAGACCGCCGCGGCGACCAAGCCGAAGAAGGCGCUAACGCCCGAACAACGGGCAAGGGAGUCGGCCUAGAGGAAGGACCGGAGGCACGCCGCGGACGCGAGGGAUGAGGCCGCUGCGCAGGCCGCCACCGCCGCCGUGCAGCAGGAGUUCACCAACGCCCGCGUCGCCGCGGCAACGAGGGAUGCGCUCUACAUGCUUGGGGUAAACCCUAGCCAGCACAACCUCGUCCAAGCCGCCAUCGCCGCGGCCAGCACCGGCUCGUCGGCGUUUCCUCGGAUGGUGAUGCCCGACUCACCCCGCGCAUCGGUUUGCAACCCGGUCCCCGGCUUCCACGUCUACCCGUAGGCCUCCCUCCUCUCCGUGGAGUGCUCACCCGACAUGAGCGUGGUCGCGCCUUCCACACCCGCGCCCACGCCCAUCGACCUCAACGCCACCCCGGUGGUCGGUGGCUCGUCGUCUGGCGGCACGAGGAAACGUGCGCGACAGACGCCGGCCGGCGGUCUCCCGGACGCCCGUAACCUGUUCGAGGAAAUGCCGUCCGCCGUCCAUGAGGACUACAUGCAACACCUCAUCUUCGAGGGUGGUGCGCCGGGCGCUGGCUAUGAUCCCAAGGAGACGCAAAGCCAGGACGGCCGCGGGGCGUUCACACCGGCCGCUGGCUAUGAUCCCGAUCAGGCGGCCUUCAUGCAUGAUCAGGUCGGCAUCGACCUGGACGGCUUCUCCCUCGACCACGAGUUCCCAGACGACUAUGGGCUAGAGGAAGAGGACGAGUGCGACAUCGAAGUGGAGCCUUUGUUCGAGGAUGAGCUCGCCAACCAAACCGCAGGUCCUAAGCCGAAGCGCAAGAGCAAGCGCACGAAGGCGUACACAACUGCCGAGGACAAUCUUCUUUGCGAGUGUUGGCGAGACAUUGGACAAGACCCAAAGACGGGCGCCGAGCAAAAGCAUUCAACCUUUUGGACUCGUGUGCACCGCGAGUUUCAUGAGCGCAAGAAGUUCCCACCCUAUCAAUUUGUGAGCACGCGCGGGUGGGUCUCCAUUUCCAAGCGGUGGAGGGUGAUCCAACAAGAGUGCAACAAGUUUUGCGCCCUUGAGAGCGUCAAGGCCCGCCCCGUGAGCGGCAACGGCGUGCAAGACAUGGUAUGAUAGCAAGCAAGCCGCCCUCUUUUGUGCCAUCAAGAUCAUCCUUUUACGUCUUCAUUUUUCUAUCACUUGCCCAUAUGCUUGCAUGGAAAUAUUUUAUAGGCAUUUCAAGCUUUGGAGGCAUUCAAAGUUCAACACAAUGGCAAGUGCUUCAACCUCUCCCAUUGCUAUCGGGUCAUCAAGAACGAAGAGAAGUUCAAGGCACAAUAUGCCGCGCUCAAGGCACGUAGGGGAAAGGGCGCCGUGGAGGAUGUUGGGGAGGGCGAGCCGGCACGGCCGCGGGAGAAGACCAACUCCAAGAAGGAGUACAAGCGAGAUGCGGCCACCAACGCCUUGAUCGCAAGCGUGGACGGGAUGAUGAAUAAGAAGGACUCAAGAGAGGAGAAGCGCCGGUGUUUCAAGGCGGAGUAAAUGGAUGCUUUCAUGGAGAUCCAAAGGAGGAGGCUUGAUCUUGACGCCGAGAAGCAAGCCAAGAUGUUCGAGCUCGAGGCAAAGAAGCAAGCCAAGAUGCUAGAGAUCGAGGCCGCCAACGCCAAGACAAAGGCGAAAGAAGUGGCUCUUGCAAUCAUGAUGACCGGGGUGGAAAUCAUGAAGGUGGAUCUCAACGCCUUGUCGCCAAGGAAGAGGCCGUGGUUCGAGAAGAUGCAGGCCGACAUGCUCAAGUUCGACGACGAGUGAUCUAUGACGUCAAGGGGCCAUCUUUUUUGUAUGCCGGCAGGUGUACCGGCAUGACCACGGGAGUCGCGAUGGCGUGGUCGAACUCAAGUUCCACCAUUUUUUGUGUGUUGGCAUGUGUGCCGGCCGGCUGGCAAGUGCGCCAGCAUGAACUGUGGUGUUUUCUGAAGCCGGCAUUCUAUGCCGGCGCUGGCAUGGUGCCGGCAUAAGACAUGGCCGCUGGCAUGAUCGGCCGCGUGCCUUUUUUAUUUAAAAGUUAAACGCGGACAUGAAAUGGAUAAGCGCGUUGCACACAUUGCUGACUCAAAUGCAAAACUGGACGGACGGCAGGCAGGUGACCGAUCCAAACAGACAAAAAACAGAUAAAUACGCCGUCCGUUUGGGUCGCCCCUUUAGAAUUGCUAAUUAUUCCAAACCCAGUCGCGUAAGAGACGCAUGGAGAAGCUUGCAACCAACGUUGUGCACUUUGCGGCAGCAGGUGGUAGUAGCCUGGGCCUGGGAGGAGACGGUGCAUCGGCGGCUGGCGUUGCUGUCCGGCGGUAUGUGGCCUGGCCGGGAGGCAGAAUGGUGGCACCGAAAUUUUGUAGAAAUAAAAAAAUUAUAGAAAGUGAGAUGACAUGCAUCUCAAUUCCUACAGAGGAAAAGAUGUCAUUUGAUGCAUAAGAUAGGAAUUUUUUCAUUGAGUCUAGACUAAUGUUUUUUUCUUUUAAAAUGUGAAGGAUUGAUUCAUAUCCUACAUAGGAAUAGGAAUCCAUCACUACAAACCAAAGGACUUCAAAAAAAAUUCUUUCUAAAUCCUAUCCUAUAGAAUUUCUAUAAAAUUCCUAUAAACCAAACCAAAAGAGGCGUAACCGUGGCGUGGCGCCGGGCCAAAGGAAAAGGAGAGGGGAGGCAGGAGGGGGACAGGGGUGGAGCCCGCGGUGUUGGGCGUGGCGGCGGCAGGGGACGCUGCUAACAACGAUCACCCGCGCGCCCAUCAUCCCGCCUCACCAUCGCGUCCAUUCGCCCGUGUACCCUGCCGGUGUCCAUUCGUCCAACGAUCACAGCGGCCGGGGCCCCGGCGAAUUCAAUACGCCCUGGCUGAACGAGAGCUGGUACGUGCUCCGGUGGGGGACGUCGAUGGAUCGCCGGCGUAGCGAUGCGGGUGCAAAUUUGGUUUGUACGUGUACAUCCAUACGUAGGACGACGUCGCUCGCAGCCGAACUCACCACGCACAGCUUUGAAUUGCCUGUUUACAGAUGGAAAUAUCUUAACUGCGCCGUCACGAUGGCACACUCACCCAUCAUUCGUGCAUCCAGGCUAGUUUUCGAUUAGACAAUUUGAGCCGAGAGUCCUACUACUCAUUCUGACACGCCAAAGCUAGCUGAUGCGGGAGCCUGUGGCAACACAUGGUCUGUCUCGAAACUCGUCCUGGGAAAGCACUUCACUGUGAUCGAUCGUGUGCCGUUCUUGCUCGAGAUUCAUUCACGCUGGGUCAUGACCAGAUCUAGCAACUGCCAACAGCACGCAGCACGCUUUAGAGCCUCCCGCCAUUGAAAGCUCUUCAUGCUACUUCCAGUCCAGCGAUAAUGUGAUAUAUGCUCCUCUACAGGCAUUUCCAGCUGGCAAUGCAUAGCUAGGUAGUCGAACGAUGUGGAAUUAUGACAGGCACGUACGCCUUCACUGUCAUGAUCACUGAUCGAUCGUGCUAGGAUAAUUAGCUGUUCACGUGCAAGCUCGUCAUGGCUAAUCGGCUAUAUCUACCUAGCUCUGGCUAACAACCAUGCAUGGUCCUGUCCCGGUGCCGACAGACACAAAGCUAAACUCUUGUAGAGCACAGUAGGCUGUCUACGCACGGUUGGACGCGCGCACGUACGUAAGCAGUGCAUGCAUGAGUACCUGCGAUCGAGAAGACAAUCUUCUGCCAUAGUGCUCACGCAUUACACAUGUACAUGUACUACUCAGCUGCUGUUUCCCGAAAUAAGUACAUCAAAGAAAUCCACGAAUUAAUAAACAUGCAUAUAUGCCACGCCGGUCCUUGGAUUCGCAUGCUAAAUCGAACACGAGCCGAAUAUAUGGCAGGAACCUGCGAGCGUGUCCCUCCCUUUUCCCAUUUGGCCAUUUCCCACGUGGCGGCAGGGGUCGGUGAAUGAUCCUCCACCAAACCAGAGCCUCUCCCGCCCCAUCACCGCCAAAAGGCAGUGGGCCAGCGAACCCGAACCACCACCACACCGAGCGCUGCCGCGCCGGUCGCGGCGGAUCAUUGNNNNNNNNNNNNNNNNNNNNNNNNNNNNNNNNNNNNNNNNNNNNNNNNNNNNNNNNNNNNNNNNNNNNNNNNNNNNNNNNNNNNNNNNNNNNNNNNNNNNNNNNNNNNNNNNNNNNNNNNNNNNNNNNNNNNNNNNNNNNNNNNNNNNNNNNNNNNNNNNNNNNNNNNNNNNNNNNNNNNNNNNNNNNNNNNNNNNNNNNNNNNCACGCUCCCGGCCGAGCUUUGCUUCACGUACAGGAUGUUACAGGGAUGAGGGGUUUACAGGGCGUCAUGGUGGUUUUUAAUUGGUCGUUAGUAGAGGCAUGGGCCCACCCCCGUUGCAAUCAGGGGGGUGUAUUUAGAAAGUUUGGAAGGAACAUGUAGAAACCUGUAAAAGCUUGUACGUCUAGCAUUUUUGCUCCCGGCCCGGCGACGCCGCUCCUCUCCGGGCACUGGCGCAAGGAAAACGAGUCGCGCACACGCACGCUCUCGGAGGUCCGCCGAUCCGAUCAUCCACUACCUGGCGACGCACGGAUGUACGUACGUGCCCCGCACGUCCGGUGCACGUGGCGCCUAGUUGCGCGUCGCGGCGCGUGCUGGCCGGGGCGGGGCGAGCAACUGAGCUAGAGUAAAGUUUGUUUUAAACCUUAAACUCGUAGAGCUGGUCAGAAUCGGACCUUAAUCUUUUAAUCCCUAAAAUCGAUAUCCUCACAUCUCUAAUCCUGAUCAAAAUCAACCCUACACCGAUCCUAGACCUGUUUGUCGCACUGGAAAACUGCAAUCCCGGGCGGGAUUACAGGUUCACUGCAAGCCAUAUCCAUCUUCCCCUCGGCUGUGGCGCCGAGCGAUGCUGCAACAGCCAGCACUGCAAUCCAUGGCAAACUCCACGGCAUGCUCCGACACCCGCCGAGAUGCCGAAGCCGAGUCAGAGGCCGUGCUCUCGGGCCUACUCGCGCGUCCAUUGAACGGCAGCUAGCUGAGUUCCGCCGGUACAGAUCGAUCAAGCUAGCCGGCGUGUAAGUCAUCACGUACGUUAGCUAGCUCAUGGAAAAUCCAUCCACAUGUCCACCUGCUUCAAAGUCAGCUUCUACGUGAAUACGCUAGAAUACCCAAAUCGUCUGAGUCAGCUUUGCACAAUAGUGUUCGCCGCAGAGUACUCGGCGAGGACUGGGCGUCUUGAGGCUGUGCGUAAUUGCCCAUGGUGGCAUGCGCUGACACGGUCAUCGUCCUACGGCGGAACCAGCUCCGAGCUUUGUUCCUCACAAUCAAGAUGCAGUUCGCGCACGUGCAUGUACAAGUGCACAAGGUCCCUCGUGAGCUCUCCCCUGGUGAGAUGGAACCGCACCCUCAUCUUGUCGUGCUCCGCCGGCAUGCCGCUGCCAGGAGCAUGCCAGACACGUCUCAAGGAAGAACCCGAGCACCUUGGUCACCAGGUUCAUGGCGCGCCGCAGCACGUAGUCGCCAACUGAUGUGAUUACCGAGGACGUCAGGGUAAAAAAGGUGAGGCUGCCGAUUUCACGGAUUUAAACGUCAGGGUUCCGUUCGGACAAACUCUACAAGUUUAAGGUUUAAAAUAGACUUUAUCCAUUGAGCUAUAUGCAACGACAACGAUUUGGCACGCGCUGGUGGAGCGCACUGUUGCUACCCUUUCUACGUGUUUUUUUCCCUCUUUUCCUGGAUACCGACGUUUUUCUCUUCUCUUCUCUUUCCUACCAGUAUUUCCUAUGGACAUUUCUUCGUGCGUUUACGUACUUUGAGUGGGCCGGGUUCCGAUUUUCCGAGUCAUCAUUGGUGCCGACACAAGGAGCUGAUGUGAUUUCACUGUAGACCGCGGCACAUCGAUGGUAGCGAUCCACUACAGCCAUGGCACGGAAAUUUGGUAGUAAUGGGGACGGUUUUUUUUUUUUGAAAGCAAAUCUCUGCUUGAUUACUUAACGGUUCCUGGGUAAAUCACCCAGGAUACAAAUACCCACAUGGGCAGGUACAUCAGACGACCAUUCCAGAUGAUGAUCACACACACACAUGGCCAAUGCCGGCUAGCUCAUGUGCUAUAGAAUUUGCACUCCGCCUACAAACAAAAAUGGAGACCUCCGAAAACCACAUUUUUAGUUGGUAUUUCAUGUCCUCGAUCAGGGCUGCAUACGGCGAGGAGUCCGCCUUACGAAAGUCGAGCGCCUCAACCAGGAGCUGGGAAUCAGUCUCGAGUUCCACCCGCACCAGUCCUAGGUCAGACGCCAGGCUGAUUGCAUGGGCCAUAGCUAUUGCUUCAGCUGCAAACGCAUCCCCAAUGUUCGCCUCUCUGCCAGCCCGAGCGCAAAUCAGGUUGCCCUCAACCGUUCUCACAGCAGCACCCCACCCUGCGUGAUCUUGACCCGGUAAGAAGGAACCAUCAACAUUGAUCUUGUACAUAGUUUCCUUCGGUGGACACCAUCUAUCCGGCUGCUUCUUGUCCUGGACCUGGGUGAAUAUUUGUGAGUACUCGAUGACAUUGCUGCCGUUCUUCGUGCCACCACACUCGCCUCCAAAGGUAGUUCUCCCUCUCUCAGUUUGUUCCGGUUAGACCACCAUAACCACCAGAAAGUAAGCACGUGCAAGCGCUUAUUGACAUCUAGGCCCCAUAGGAAAUCAAGCAUUGCAUGCACAAACGUGACCUUCUCGAGCUGCAUCCUCUCCUUCUCCAUGGCCAAGUCUCUCCACACACCCUUCACUAUUUUGCACUUUAUGAAGAGGUGAGCUCCAUCCUCACCUGCCAACCCGCAGAAUAAACAUUUGGUACUCUCAAUAUGAAUUCCUUUCCGGGCAACAUUCACCCGAAGAGCAAGCGAAUCAUGCUUCAGUCUCCACGUGAACAUUUGUAUGUUCUUGGGGCAGGGUAGUCGCCAAAUCCGUUUCCAUGAAUCGUCAGGUGUUCAAUCAAGAUUGCCCGGAAUGCUGUCGCUUCCACCAACCCCUCCAUCAGACCGGAUUUUCUCAAGUUCCAUGUGAAGCUUACACGCACUUUUGACCGAAUGGAUGCCCUUGGUGUCAUACUGCCAUGCCACAAAAUCUGGGACUCCAUCCCGAAGAGGAAUUUGAAGUAUGUGCUUCACAUCGUCCGCCCAAAAAGUAUCUCGCACAAGCUGUUCGUCCCAAGCCCCAGUGAGCGGAUUAAUGAGAUCGCUGACCCACUCCAAGAUACUAGGACCGCGCGGGGUGAUGACACGUCUCGACCAGACUCGUGGAAUCCAGGGAUCCGACCAAAUGCGGACCUGUGUGCCAUCCCCAAUCCGCCAGAUGUAGCCCUCCCGGAAUAAACUUAGCCUCUGUAACAGACUUCGCCAGGCAUAGGAUAUGCCCUCCCUUGGGACCGCCUCAAAGAUGUUUCCAUUGGGAAAGUAGCGGGCCUGCAAAACCCUAGCACAGAGAGAUUCCGGGUUUUGAAUGAGUCUCCAAACUUGCCGGGACAACAUAGCUAAGUUAAAACCAUGCAUGUCCCGGAACCCCAAACCUCCCAGUGCUUUAGGUUUGAUAAGCUUCUUCCAGCUGAUCCAAUGAGUAGCAUGCUCCUUAUCAUAUUGGCUCCACCAAUAGUUCCCAAUCAGUGCACUCAGUUCCUCACAAAAAGAUUUGGUCAAGUAGAAGCAUGACAUAGCAAAUGUGGGGAUAGCUUGCGCAACAGUUGUAACCAACGUUUCUUUCCCGGACUUAGCAAUGAGCUUCUCCUUCCAGCCAUACACCCUCCCAGCCAACGCCCCCUUCACGAAGGCAAAGGCUUUUCUUUCUGGAUCUCCCAACAUGAACAUGGAGGCCAAGGUACUUUUCGUUCCAAGACUCACUUUGAAUCUGCAGCGCAUCCUUCACCUCAGUUUUAAUAACUUCACUAGUAUUUGGGCUAAACAUGACAACAGAUUUCUCCAAGUUGAUACACUGCCCAGAACAACUUGUUGGAAAUAUGCCCUAGAGGCAAUAAUAAAAGCAUUAUUAUUAUAUUUCUUUGUUCAUGAUAAUUGUCUUUAUUCAUGCUAUAACUGUAUUAUCCGGAAAUCGUAAUACACGUGUGAAUAAUAGACACCAACAUGUCCCUAGUAAGCCUCUAGUUGACUAGCUCGUUGAUCAACAGAUAGUCAUGGUUUCCUGACUAUGGACAUUGGAUGUCAUUGAUAACGAGAUCACAUCAUUAGGAGAAUGAUGUGAUGGACAAGACCCAAUCCUAAACAUAGCAUAAAGAUCGUGUAGUUCGUUUGCUAGAGUUUUUCCAAUGUCAAGUGUCCUUUCCUUAGACCAUGAGAUCGUGUAACUCCCGGAUACCGUAAGAGUGCUUUGGGUGUACCAAACGUCACAAUGUAACUGGGUGACUAUAAAGGUGCACUACAGGUAUCUCCGAAAGUGUCUGUUGGGUUGACACGGAUCGAGACUGGGAUUUGUCACUCCGUAUGACGGAGAGGUAUCACUGGGCCCACUCGGUAAUGCAUCAUCAUAAUGAGCUCAAAGUGACCAAGUGUCUGGUCACGGGAUCAUGCAUUACGGUACGAGUAAAGUGACUUGCCGGUAACGAGAUUGAACGAGGUAUUGGGAUACCGACGAUCGAAUCUCGGGCAAGUAACAAACCGAUUGACAAAGGGAAUUGUAUACGGGGUUGCUUGAAUCCUCGACAUCCUGGUUCAUCCGAUGAGAUCAUCGAGGAACAUGUGGGAGCCAACAUGGGUAUCCAGAUCCCGUUGUUGGUUAUUGACCGGAGAUUCGUCUCGGUCAUGUCUACAUGUCUCCCGAACCCGUAGGGUCUACACACUUAAGGUUCGGUGACGCUAGGGUUGUAGGGAUAUGUAUAUGCAGUAACCCGAAUGUUGUUCGGAGUCCCGGAUGAGACCCCGGACGUCACGAGGAGUUCCGGAAUGGUAUGGAGGUAAAGAAUUAUAUAUAGGAAGUGAUGUUUCGGGCAUCGGGACAAGUUUCGGGGUCACCAGUAUUGUACCGGGACCACCGGAAGGGUCCCGGGGGUCCACCGGGUGGGGCCACCUGUCCCGGGGGGCCACAUGGGCUGUAGGGGGUGUGCCUUGGCCUACAUGGGCCAAGGGCACCAGCCCCAAGAGGCCCAUGCGGCUAGGGUUUCAAGGGAGGAAGAGUCCUAGGAGGGGAAGGCACCUCCUAGGUGCCUUGGGGAGGAGGGAUUCCUCCCCCUUGGCCGCACCCCCCUAGGAGAUUAGAUCUCCUAGGGCCGGCGCCCCCCCCCCCCUUGGCCCUCCUAUAUAUAGUGGGGAGAUGGAGGACUUCUUACCCCUUGCCUUUGGUGCCUCCCUCUCCCUCUCCAACACCUCCUCCUCCUCCAUAGUGCUUGGCGAAGCCCUGCCGGAGUACUGCAGCUCCAUCACCACCACGCCNNNNNNNNNNNNNNNNNNNNNNNNNNNNNNNNNNNNNNNNNNNNNNNNNNNNNNNNNNNNNNNNNNNNNNNNNNNNNNNNNNNNNNNNNNNNNNNNNNNNNNNNNNNNNNNNNNNNNNNNNNNNNNNNNNNNNNNNNNNNNNNNNNNNNNNNNNNNNNNNNNNNNNNNNNNNNNNNNNNNNNNNNNNNNNNNNNGUGGGGCCACCUGUCCCGGGGGGCCACAUGGGCUGUAGGGGGUGUGCCUUGGCCUACAUGGGCCAAGGGCACCAGCCCCAAGAGGCCCAUGCGGCUAGGGUUUCAAGGGAGGAAGAGUCCUAGGAGGGGAAGGCACCUCCUAGGUGCCUUGGGGAGGAGGGAUUCCUCCCCCUUGGCCGCACCCCCCUCGGAGAUUAGAUCUCCUAGGGCCGGCGCCCCCCCCCCCCUUGGCCCUCCUAUAUAUAGUGGGGAGAUGGAGGACUUCUUACCCCUUGCCUUUGGUGCCUCCCUCUCCCUCUCCAACACCUCCUCCUCCUCCAUAGUGCUUGGCGAAGCCCUGCCGGAGUACUGCAGCUCCAUCACCACCACGCCGUCGUGCUGCUGCUGGAGCCAUCUUCCUCAACCUCUCCUUUCCCCUUGCUGGAUCAAGAAGAAGGAGACGUUACGCUGACCGUAUGUGUGUUGAAUGCGGAGGUGCCGUCCGUUCGGCGCUAGGAUCUCCGGUGAUUUGGAUCACGUCGAGUACGCCUUCCUCAUCCCCGUUCUUUGAACGCUUCCGCGCGUGAUCUACAAAGGUAUGUAGAUGCAAUCCAAUCACUCGUUGCUAGAUGAACUCAUAGAUGGAUCUUGGUGAAACCGUAGGAAAAUUUUUAUUUUCUGCAAUGUUCCCCAACAGUGGUAUCAGAGCCAGGUGUAUGUGUAGUUCUUCUUGCGCGAGUAGAACACAAUUUGUUGUGGGCGUUGAUGUUGUCAACUUUCUUGCCGCUACUAGUCUUAUCUUGCUUCAACGGUAUUGUGGGAUGAAGCGGCCCGGACCAACCUUACACGUACGCUUACGUGAGACCGGUUCCACCGACUAACAUGCACAAGUUGCAUAAAGGUGGCUGGCGGGUGUCUGUCUCUCCCACUUUAGUUGGAGAGGAUUCGAUGAAAAGGGUCCUUAUGAAGGGUAAAUAGAAGUUGACAAAUCACGUUGUGGCUUUCACGUAGGUAAGAAAACGUUCUUGCUAGAACCCUACUUCAGCCACGUAAAACUUGCAACAACAAUUAGAGGACGUCUAACUUUUUUUGCAGCAAGUGCUUUGUGAUAUGAUAUGGCCAAAGUUGUGAUGAAUGAUGAAUGAUCUAUAUGUGGGAAUUGACAAAGGGAAUUGCAUAGGGGGUUGCAUGAAUCCUCGACAUCGUGGUUCAUCUGAUGAGAUCAUCAUGGAGUAUGUGGGAGCCAACAUGAGUAUCCAGAUCCCGCUGUUGGUUAUUGACCAGAGAACGAUCUCGGUCAUGUCUACAUGUCUCCCGAACCCGUAGGGUCUACACACUUAAGGUUCAGUGACGCUAGGGUUGUAGGGAUAUGUAUAUGCAGUAACCCGAAUGUUGUUCGGAGUCCCGGAUGAGAUCCCGGAUGUCACGAGGAGUUCCGGAAUGGUCUGGAGGUAAAGAUUUAUAUAUGGGAAGUCCUGUUUCGGGCAUCGGGACAAGUUUCAGGGUUAUCGGUAUUGUAUCGGGACCACCGGAAGGAUCCCGGGGGUCCACCGGGUGGGGCUACCUGUCCCGGGGGGGCCACAUGGGCUGUAGGGGGUGUGCCUUGGCCUACAUGGGCCAAGGGCACCAGCCCCAAGAGGCCCAUGCGCCUAGGGUUACAAGGGGAAAGAGUCCUAGGAGGGGAAGGCACCUCCUAGGUGCCUUGGGGGGAGGGAAACCUCCCCUUGGCCGCCGCCCCACCCUAGGAGAUUGGAUCUCCUGGGCCGGCGCCCCCCUUGGCCCUCCUAUAUAUAGUGAGGGAAGGAGGGCUUUUCUCCCACGCCUUUGGUUGCCUCCUUCUCCCUCUCCAACACCUCCUCCUCCUCCAUAGCGCUUGGCGAAGCUCUGCCGGAGUACUGCAGCUCCAACAACACCACGCCGUCGUGCUGCUGCUGGUGCCAUCUCCCUCAACCUCUCCUUCCCCCUUGCUGGAUCAAGAAGAAGGAGACGUGGCUGUUCCGUACGUGUGUUGAACGCGGAGGUACUGUCCGUUCGGUGCUAGGAUCUUCGGUGAUUCGAAUCACGUCGAGUACGACUACCUCAUCCCCGUUCUUUGAACGCUUCCGCUUGCGAUCUACAAGGUACGUAGAUGCAUCUAAUCACUCAUUGCUAGAUGAACUCCUAGAUGGAUCUUGGUGAAACCGUAGGAAAUUUUUUGUUUUCUGCUACGUUCCCCAACAGUGGCAUCAUGAGCUAGGUCUAUGCGUAGUUCUUCUUGCGCGAGUAGAACACAAUUUGUUGUGGGCGUAGAUGUUGUCAACUUUCUUGCCGCUACUAGUCUUAUCUUGCUUCAACGGUAUUGUGGGAUGAAGUGGCCCGGACCAACCUUACACGUACGCUUACGUGAGACCGGUUCCACCGACUAACAUGCACAAGUUGCAUAAGGUGGCUGGCGGGUGUCUGUCUCUCCUACUUUAGUUGGAGGGGAUUCGAUGAAAAGGGUCCUUAUGAAGGGUAAAUGGAAGUUGACAAAUCACGUUGUGGCUUUCACGUAGGUAAGAAAACGUUCUUCCUAGAACCCUACUUCAGCCACGUAAAAUUUGCAACAACAAUUAGAGGACGUCUAACUUAUUUUUGCAGCAAGUGCUUUGUGAUAUGAUAUGGCCAAAGUUGUGAUGAAUGAUGAAUGAUCUAUAUAUGAUGUAUGAUAUGUUCAUGCUAUUGUAAUGAGAAUCACAACUUACAUGUCGAUGAGUAUGCCGGUGACAAGAUGAUCAUGGAGCCCCAAGAUGGAGAUCAAAGGAGCUGUGUGAUAUUGGCCAUAUCAUGUCACUAUUAUUAUUUGAUUGCAUAUGAUGUUUAUCAUGUUUUUCGUCUUGUUUGCUUAGAACGACGGUAGUAAAUAAGAUGAUCCCUCACAACAAUUUCAAGAAGUGUUCUCCCCUAACUGUGCACCGUUGCUAAAGUUCGUCGUUUCGAAGCACCACGUGAUGAUCGGGUGUGAUAGAUCCUUACGUUCACAUACAACGGGUGUAAGACAGUUUUACACAUGCAAAACAGUUAGGGUUAACUUGACGAGCCUAGCAUGUUUAUAGACAUGGCCUCGGAACACAGAAGACCGAAAGGUCGAGCAUGAGUCGUAUAGAAGAUACGAUCAACAUGAAGAUGUUCACCGACGUUGACUAGUCCGUCUCACGUGAUGAUCGGACACGGCCUAGUUGACUCGGAUCAUGUUAUACUUAGAUGACUAGAAGAGGGAUGUCUAUCUAAGUGGGAGUUCAUUAUAAUUUGAUUAGAUGAACUUAAUUAUCAUGAACUUAGUCUAAAAUAUUUACAAUAUGUCUUGUAGAUCAAAUGGCCAAUGUAGUCCUCAACUUCAACGCGUUCCUAGAGAAAACCAAGCUAAAAGACGAUGGCAGCAACUACACGGACUAGGUCCGGAACCUGAGGAUCAUCCUCAUAGCUGCCAAGAAAGAUUAUGUCCUACAAGCACCGCUAGGUGAUGCACCUGUUCUCCCUGCAGAAAAAGACGUUAUGAACGCUUGGCAGGCACGUACCGAUGACUACUCCCUCAUUCAGUGCGGCAUGCUUUACAGCUUAGAGCCGGGGCUCCAAAAGCGUUUUGAGAGACAUGGAGCAUAUGAGAUGUUCGAAGAGCUGAAAAUGGUUUUCCAAGCUCAUGCCCGGGUCGAGAGAUAUGAAGUCUCCGACAAAUUCUUCAGCUGUAAGAUGGAGGAAAAUAGUUCUGUCAGUGAGCACAUACUCACUAUGUCUGGGUUAGAUAACCGCUUGACUCAGCUGGGAGUUAAUCUCCCGGAUGAUGCGGUCAUUGACAGAAUCCUCCAGUCGCUUCCACCGAGCUACAAGAGCUUUGUGAUGAACUUCAAUAUGCAGGGGAUGGAGAAGACCAUUCCUGAAGUAUUUGCUAUGCUGAAAUCAGCAGAGGUAGAAGUCAAGAAGGAACAUCAAGUGUUGAUGGUCAAUAAAACCACUAAGUUCAAGAAGGGCAAGGGUAAAAAGAACUUCAAGAAGGACGGCAAGGGAGUUGCCGCGCCCGACAAGCAAGCUGCCGGGAAGAAGCCAAAAAAUGGACCCAAGCCCGAGACUGAGUGCUUUUAUUGCAAGGAAAGUGGUCAGUGGAAGCGGAACUGUCCCAAAUACUUAGCGGACAAGAAGGCCGGCAAAACGAAAGGUAUAUGUGAUAUACAUGUAAUUGAUGUGUACCUUACCAGUACUCGUAGUAGCUCCUGGGUAUUUGAUAUCGGUGCGGUUGCUCACAUUUGUAACUCACAGCAGGAGCUGCGGAAUAAACGGAGAAUGGCGAAGGACGAGGUGACGAUGCGCGUCGGGAAUGGUUCCAAGGUCGAUGUGAUCGCCGUCGGCACGCUACCUCUACAUUUACCUACGGGAUUAGUUUUGAACCUCAAUAAUUGUUAUUUAGUGCCAAGUUUGAGCAUGAACAUUCUAUCAGGAUCUCGUUUAAUUCGAGAUGGCUACUCAUUUAAAUCCGAGAAUAAUGGCUGUUCUAUUUAUAUGAGAGAUAUGUUUUAUGGUCAUGCUCCGAUGGUGAAUGGUUUAUUCUUUAUGAAUCUCGAGCGUAAUGCUACACAUAUUCAUAGUGGAAGUACCAAAAGAUGUAAGAUUGAUAAUGAUAGUUCCACAUACUUGUGGCACUGCCGCCUUGGUCACAUAGGUGUCAAACGCAUGAAGAAGCUCCAUGCUGAUGGACUUUUAGAGUCUCUUGAUUAUGAAUCAUUUGACACGUGCGAACCAUGCCUCAUGGGUAAAAUGACCAAGACUCCGUUCUCAGGAACAAUGGAGCGAGCAACCAACUUAUUGGAAAUCAUACAUACUGAUGUGUGCGGUCCAAUGAGUGUUGAGGCUCGCGGUGGCUAUCGUUAUGUUCUCACCCUCACUGAUGACUUGAGUAGAUAUGGGUAUGUCUACUUAAUGAAACACAAGUCUGAAACCUUUGAAAAGUUCAAGAAAUUUCAGAGUGAGGUUGAGAAUCAACGUGAUAGGAAAAUCAAGUUCAUAUGAUCAGAUCGAGAAGGAGAAUACUUGAGUCACGAGUUUGGCACACACUUAAGAAAAUGUGGAAUAGUUUCACAACUCACGCCGCCUGGAACACCUCAGCGUAAUGGUGUGUCCGAACGUCGUAAUCGCACUCUAUUAGAUAUGGUGCGAUCUAUGAUGUCUCUUACCGAUUUACCGCUAUCCUUUUGGGGGUAUGCUUUAGAGACUGCCGCAUUCACUUUAAAUAGGGCUCCGUCGAAAUCCGUAAUCAAAUUUGAUUCAACUAAAGUAUGAGAAACAGACAUCCGCUAGCCACCUUUAUGGAAAACAAGUUGCAUGUCAGUCGAUGGAACCGGUCCCACAAUACCGCCGAAUCAAAAUAAGACAUUGAUGGUAAACAAUAUGUCCAACACCGCCCACAAUUCAUUUGUGUUCUACUCGUGCAUAUUAUUUACGCAUAGACCUGUCUCGGAUGCCACUGUUGGGAACCGUUGCAUGGAAAUAAAAAAAUGCAAACACAAGAUCUAUCAAUGGAGAUGCAUAGCUACGAGAGGGGAGACUAUGCCUAUGUAUGUUCGUAGACCGUUUAGCGAAAGCGUUUAUCAACGCAGUUGAUGUAGUUGAACACCUUCGCGAUCCAAUCGAUCAAGUACCGAACGUACGGUACCUCCGCGUUCAGCUCAAUGACGUCAUCGGCUUCUUGAUCCAGCAAAACGGGCAAAGUAGUAGAUGAGUUUCGGCAGCACGACGGCGUAGUGACGGUGGUGGUUAACUUGUUCCCGAAGAGCUUCGCCGAGCACAACGAAAAAACUAGACCGAGGAUGAAACUAUGGAAAGCAACGCUGCAGAUGACUAAAAGAUUGUUGUAGAUUGUAUGGCGCCCCCUCCCUCAUAUAUAUAUAUAUAUAUAUAUAUAUAGGUGAGGGGAGAGGAGGCAACCAGGGUGCGCCCCAAGGUGGCCGGUCGGCCCCUUGGGCGCCUGCCCUAUGGCCUCCCUUCCUUGUUUGGCGCCUGGGAGAAGGCGGGAAGGGAUGACGCCCCGCUUCCCUAGGGCCAACGGCCUGGAGACGCACCAGCCCCACGUGGCCCGUUUGACACAUUAAACUCCCGGGGGCUUCGGGUGUAGUUUCUUUUCCCUUUUGAUAAAGGAAGUGCCUAGGACUCAUCUAGAUAAGAUAUAAUUUGGUUUCAUUCACCUGAAAACAAAAACAGAUAAAAAUAAUACUACAAAAUACAUCAGCACACACGCAUCUUAUAGUAUCAAUCCAAUGGCUAUAAAAAUGAAUGAGACAUAACUAAAACUCAGCUAGAUGAGUUCUAGCAAAGCCGUUUGAUAAAAGGACAAACAAACAACUCAGACAUAAAAAAGCAGUCAAAGGAAAGCCCAGAACGGGAGAAAUUACCAGAACCCACUAACCAGGGAGGCAAAACGGGCCAAAUCCGUUCUAGAUGAUGUCAUUCGACUGAGACUCUGAGACCUUCGUAAUAAAGGUCACGGGCCCCGGGAGCCCGUCGCCUUCCUCGCUGCCCCGGUUACUUCGGGCGAAAAACGAGACGGCGUAGGGGGUAAUCACAUUCACACAAGAUGCCGCUGCCGCGGUUGGUGGCUCGAUCGUGAUGCAGUCGUCGGUCGGUCGAGCCACACCAUGACUAUGUCACGUAGGAACGCGCCGCCCCGAUGCCAGGAGCUUCACCUGAUCGGUCGGUUUUCGUCAUGAAUGCGCGAUGUGGCAGCGGCACCGCGGAGCCAGGUCGACGCAGUCGGCAGCUUGACGAGCAGUUUGUUCUGCUCCUGCUUUGACGACGUUUCUCUCCUCGGAUCGCUGUUGAUCACCAGGGCAAGAGCCUGGCAGAGGGCCUGCCCGUGAGGCCUCACAGCUGAGGGAACACGUACUUGGUGCCUGCCACCCCAUGACGCACGUACUCCGCCGUGCCCGUGCGCCACAUGCAGCAUGCUACGUGUCAGGCGACACGUGCACGUUCCAGGCGCAUGCAUGCAGGGGCACGCGACGACCCGAUCCCGUGGCCGGUGCCGUGUUGACUUGGCGUCCACCCGUCCGGCCAUUGCGACUGUAGUGCAAGCAAAGCGGCGACGCCAUUCCAGCAAACGCACGCGCCGUGUCUCCGGUGUUUGUCUCCUCACGAGGGAGAAAGAGAGAGGGACCUAACUCACGUAUGUUUCGCUGGUUAUCUGGUGUCUGUUAAUUGUCCUGCUACAUUUUAGGAACCUAGGAUUAUUCCUCGUGCUUUACAGAGUUAGUGGCUAUCUAAAUCUAAUUAUGCUGUCACUGGCUGCCACAUGCAUGCGCCUUCGUUCUGCACAGAGACGGCCUGCUUCGUUCUGUACAGAGUAGUAACUAGCUGCCCCUGCACACGGCUCUAAUUUGUAGGCUGCUCUUUUUGGUGGCAUUGUGCGUGCAUGUGUCACACACAGUGUCAGUACUCACUACACAGAGCUUUGCCGGAGAAAAGCUAAGCUUUCCCCCAGCUUCGAUUCCAAGAGUGCAACUUGGCGAGAUGAUUUAGCACGGCAAAACUCGCUGCAUGUGAAAUUGUGAGUACACGCUUUCAUGGCGAUCCGCUACAAAACUAAGCACAUAUUACGCCGCAUGCAUGCACGUACGUACCGUUCAAAACGCUCACGCGCAAGAACAGGGCUGAGGCCGACGCGUGCUUAAUUGGAUCUGUGUGCAAGCCCGUGUCAGUGCACCGUGCGCGGUGAGAGAACAUGAUUUGCAUGGCAUGCUUCAUUUUGCGCGUUUGCAUGGCUAGAACCACAGACACGAGCGGAGCAACGGCGUAACUCCCCGUCGACAAUGCAUGGAGAGUACGUAAUAUGAGUAACGUAGCAGUGGUAGCUGACAUCGAUCUCCUAGUAGCUACAGUCCCUCCCUACAAGAUCCACGGGACAAGCUUAAUGGAUGCCUUUAAGGAAGGAAGGAAGGGAUCCAACUUGGCCACGUACAGAUACGUCGUACGCAUACGGCUACUGCAUGCAUGCAUGUAUACAUGUGUCUAUAUGGGCAUGCAUGUGCGUGUGCAUUACACGGCAGAUACAACAUUGGAGGGCUCAUUUUUAGCAAGAGAACCAAUAGUGCAAGAUCUUACGAAUACGUAUGCGCUCCGGCUGCGAACGUAAGUCACUUAUGACCAUCAUAGCCAGGAGAAUCACGUAGUGGUACAUACACAAGCGUGUGUGCUUUGUACCGGGGGCUGCAAGUGGGGCAAGAGUUAGCCGGGUCGACCACGCCAUCUGCAGUGAACAACUGACCAAAACUCUCAAGCCAUAGGCAUUAAAGUGCUGCGGGUCGCAAAACAGUGGUAGCUUAAGUGCACGCACGCGCCGGCCUUCACCUUUCAUCAUUUACACGGCCGUGCAGCUGCCGGCCUCCGAGUUACCACCGCCACCUCCAUACCACGAUCGUCCUCCGCCCUUCCCCACAGCAUAUCACUGCUCGUUUUCCCCUUUGCAGCACCAUCGCCAUGCGCCGCAACACCACGGAGACCCCCAUCCCCAUCCCCCCGACAGCAGAGGAGGCAUGGCGGCCAUGCAUCUCCAAAGCUCGAUCUGCACAGGAGCACGCAUUUUCUCCCCCAUGCCCGGGAACAGGGCGCCGAUUAUACUACUACUAUACCACAGGAGACGGUUGAUCGUUUUCAACGGUGCGUCGCAAAGAUCAAAAGUUUCAGUUCCCGAGAAGUCACUCCUUGCCACUAGAACUUGGCAAGAUGCGGCGACAGACGUCCAAGUUUACGAGCUGCGAAAAGGGAAAAGACACGCCAAAGUCUAGCUUGUGCAACAAGGUUGGCGAGCAACGACGUUCAUGUCGGGCGGUCGUUUUGUUCGAGUCAGUGUCCCAUCCUUGCCGCCCCGUUGACUGCACCGCCUGUACACUCCGUGGGAACCCUAAUUAACAAGGCCUGCCAGUGCCAUACGUGCCUGUCAAGAAAGAAAACAAAAACCCUAUCGAGAUCACAGUUCAGUCGCAGGAAAAGAAAAACGAGGUUCAGAGCAACAACAAAAGGCAGAGUCAUUGUGUCCGCCUCCCUGUCAUGUACUCCUCCCUACAUCCUAUGCUUGAUUAUCGGGCUAAUCUUGUCAUCUUGACACCACGGGGCCGGCCGGGGCGGCCGCUACACGAUGGACCACACUGUCGAUGUCACCCCCAUGAAGUGCCAUGGAUUAUAUUAUAUGAAAGGAAAGGAAAGAAUCGGGUCGUAAAAGAAGAAGUGCGUUCGUGCAAUGAACACUAGAAAAUCCGGACUGCGGUCACCGUCGUGUCUAGGAAUCGGAUGCAAGUCGGUUUCGUCAUAAACAUGCUUGCACGACUUGGAGAGGUGGCAUGAUCGUGCCGUUUCUCUAAGCAAAGUGAGGUUCCCAUCCAGAUUCUGUUCAUAGGCUCGACUAGAGUAAUCCUCGGAUCACCAUUUUGCUCCCCAAAACAGUUAUCCUCGUGCGAAUGAGUAAAUUCCAAUUUUACCCUUAGUCCGGACAUUGUGACAAUGUUUAUCUUUUGUUGUUACCUUGUGAUGAUUUUUUUAAAACCUUGUGAUGAAUGUUAUCCCAUUUUACUAUUAUUUCCUCAUAAUUGGUAAGAUAGGUAACGUGGCAGUCAACUAGGCGGCUGUCUUGAAUAGUACUAUUUGACGCAGGAGCCGUGCGAUGCAACUAAAUUGACCUUUUCUCUCUCCCAAAUAACUUGUAAAUUUGAGGGAAGCUGGCAUAUAGUAUUUGGUAGUGCCCCUAGCGAGUACAUACGAGUUGUUCACCGAGUUACUACCUUUGUUUCUAAAUAUAAGGUGUUUGACAAUUUAAAUUUAGUAACAAAGGGGGUAGCUAUCUUUUGAUCCUAACAAGUGGAUAUAAUUUCUCAGUUUCAGAAAUAAUAGAAUGGGCUAAAAGUUGUCAACAUGUCAUAUGCCAUCUAUUUUCAGAUAAGGCGAGGGUUAUCAUAUUUUCACAAUAAUAAGUGUGCUUUUUUACUUGAAAAUGUUGCUCCCUUCCUUUUUCCCCUUUCCCGUUUGAUUUUUCUUUUGCUGCACUUUUUCUGGGAGGCUUGUAUAAGGGAAUGGAGGAGGUAUUAUCUGACGAUUGGAGUCGUGCGAUGCAGCCAGCCAUACCUAUUCUGCAGAAUUGACUUUUUUCCCCUACCAAAUAACAUGAUAAAUUUGAGGGAACCUGAUAUAUACUCCCUUUGUACUUCCUCUGUUUUAAAUUACUCGUCGCAGAAAUGAAUGUAUCUAGAACUAAAAUACAUCUAGAUACAUCCAUACCUAUGACAAGUAAUUCAGAACGGAGGGAGUAGAUUUUUAUAAAAAGUUUUCUGAGUCCAUGACAAUGUCAAAGAACAUCCUAACGAGUACGGUACGAGCUGUUUACCCAGUUAGCUUUCUUCUAAUCCCGACAAGUGGAUAUAAUUUCUCAGUUUGAGAAAUAAUAGAACCGGCUAAAAAAAGGUUAUCAACAUGUCACAAAUAAAGGUAAAAUGUGACAUCUAUUUUCAGAUAAGAAGAGGGUUAUCACAUUUUCACAAUAAUAAGUGCGCUUUUUCACAUGAAAAUGAUGCGUCCUUUCCUUUUCCCUCUCAUGUCCGAUUCAAUGUUUUUUUUUCUGCUGCACUUUUUUCUCAGAGGAAGAACGCACGCCACAUGUUGGAAGCUAGCUAGGCAGAAGUAGGGAGGAUGUCAGCUGGGCCCUGAGCAAAAUCCUUAGGUGGGUCCCACAAGAGCAACCAACCAACAGCGGCGACGUCCGCUUAAAGGGUGCUUGGAUCCAAGGGACUAUUUUUAGUCUGACUAAAAAUAGUCUUUUUUAGAGGCUGAAGUUCCAAGCACCCCUGACUAAAGAGAGGCUAGGACUAGUCUUGAGGCUAAAAAUUUUUAGUCAUAGGAAACCUACUAAAUAUGUAUUAGCCCUCUCUCUCCUCAUUUAAUUCCUCUCCUUUAACACAUGCGAGUUCUGGAUUGGAGAGUUUGGAGGAUAAUAAAUGCUCAAUAACUUGAUUUUAGUCUCUUUAGUAUUUGGAUCCAAGCAUGGGUUAGGCUAGCAAGUUUUAGUCCCACUACUUUUAGUCAUGGGACUAAAACGUAUCCAAGCAUCCUCUUAAUCGCUCGUCUUUUCACGGGGAUAGGUCAGGCUAGGUAGGGCAAGGGCAUCCACAAAAUUAAGGAGACGGAUGACCCAAUCUUGAUCGUUAACCUCAAAGUAAAGCGUGAUUAAACUGCUAAGACUAGCCACAAUGGGAGUAACUUCAGCAGUAACAUCGAGUCAAACUCAGCAAGUUUGCUUAUGUGGCAAUGAGUUGAUGAGGAGAGAGGUAGUAGUAGUAACUUAGCUAGUUACCGUAACAUCACAUGUCCCAAUACAAUAUGAGUCUAUAACCUAAUAAAUAAAGCUAUGCAUGUUACCACACUUAUGUUACUACCCACUAUGAGGCCCCUCCCAAUGCUCCACCUUGUACAGGUGCUAAGCCUUCCACGUAGGCAAAAAAUCUGAUGUGGCAGGUUAUUUAAGAGGAGAGAGAUAAGUGUGGUGACCCCAGGAAGAACCAAUGCUAAGCGCGUGAACCUAGGCAAAACAUUUAAAGGAAGGAAGCCCACCAAUACAUGAAGAGCUUUAGUUGCUAAAUCAUUAAAUGAAGCAAGCUUAGCAACCAUAAGCUAAGCACCUAUGCAUUGGGAAGUAUAGUUGCUAACCUAUUUAAUGUGCUUAGCACCUUAUCUAAGCACCCAUGCAUUGGCAGCAGUCUGAAGGUAGUAACAUGGUCUAGGAAUAUGUGUAUGUUACUCUUCAUUGUGGCUAGUCUAAGGGCAUCUCCAACAGUUGUGAGAUAGGUGUUGGUAAAUUUGCCACCUAGGACAUAGUGAUGAUGUGGCAUGUAUUAAAUGUGGAGAGAGAGCAAAGUUGUAUGUAGAUUAACCAACAACCUUUGCACAAGCUCCAAGGUGAAAUAGAGAGCAACCACAUUUAUUGUCUCAUCAUCUAUUGGAUAGUUUACAUGCAACUCAUUGGAGUAGUUGUAUGAUAGCUUAUUGAUUGAUGAUAUGGACAUUUUACCAACAAAACUAACAUACAACUUGUUGGAGAUGCCCUAACCCCCACAACUUUUCUUUGGCCAAGUGGGCUACGAUCGGCAUGAUGGCCCUAGAUGAGCUCUGCUGGCCAUUAGCCCGGCCACGUGGGACCCCGCCAGUCACCACGGUGCACGAUUGUAACACUCCUUUGUCUAUAUCACGCGUGAUUAAACUAGGCCAUAGUUAAUUAGGCGACGGUGAUGAUGGUUGGAAGAAGUUGAUGUUAACCGAUCCCCAAGUGGGGGGAGAUUUCAUCACCCUUGGAGAGGAGAAGCAAAAAAAAAGUAAGUAAUAUCCGUGGUGGGAAGUGGGCGCGUGAUGCAUGAUCUCAUGGCGUUCCUUCUGGCCAAGGACCACCGUCUCGUCAAGCGUGGAUUUCUCUCCACUCCACUCCAUUAGGAUAAGCGUUGGACUUUGAGAGUGCUGGAGACGCUCUGGCCUCUGGAGUUGGGUUAUGUGAUGCCAGUGUCACCACAUGCUGCCAAUGCCCUGGCGCACCGCGCAAAUAGUAGUUCAAGUUGCGCACUAGUCCCGGCCAAAAAGGUCUCGGAUUUUGCUCGUGGACGUUAACGUACUCGUCCACCUGAUGGACGUAACAGUUGUGCCUUGUGUGUAGCCAGCCAGCGAGCCGUAGUCGACAAGAUCCGCGUGCCGCCACUUGUCAACUUGGCCGGAGACGCAUGGAGAAACUUUGCGGCAGCAGGUGGUGGUAGCCCGGGCCUGGGAGGAGACGAUGCAUCGUCGGCGUCGCUGUCCGGCAGUACGUGGCCGGGAGGCCGAGUGGUGGCGCCGUCUCCUGAUUAGGCGUGGCGUGGCGGGGGCCGGGCGAAGGGAAAAGGAGAGGAGAGGGGGGAGGCAGGAGGGGGACAGGGGGUGGAGCCCGCGGUGUUGGGCGUGGCGGCGGCAGGGGACACUGCUUGCUGCUGGGCGCCACAACUCGUCGUCGCUCCCUCUCCCGCUGCUGACAACGAUCACCCGCGCGCCCAUCAUCCUGCCUCGCCAUCGCGUCCAUUCGCCCGUGUACCCCGCCGGUACAGGCGCACAGCGGCCGGGGGCCGGCGAGUUCAAUGCGCCCUGGCCGGUGGAGACGUCGCCGGUGUGCGCCCCAAUUUGCACCCAAGUUACAAAUAGGAGCCAAUGUUAUUAGGGCCACCUCACCCUUUUGAACUGCCAGUUUACUUUUGAUCUUUAGUUAACCUAGCCGUCCGUCACCAUGGCACACUCAUCCAUCAUUCGUGCGUGCGUCUAGUCCAGCUUCGAUUACACAACGUGAGCCGAGAGUCCUACACUACUUAUUCUGACACGCCAAAGCUAGCUGAUGCGGGAGCCUGUGGCGACACAUGGUCUGUCUCGAAACUCGUCCGGGAAAGCGCUUCACUGUGAUCGACCGUGUGCCGUCCUUGCUCCAGAUUUAUUCACGCUACCUUAGCUAGCUCGCUAGCCGCUGGGUCAUGACCAGAUCUAGCUACUGCCCACAGCACGUAGCACGCUUUAGAGCCUUCCGCCAUUGAAAGCUCCCGCAUGCCACUUCCAGUGAUAUAUGCACAGCUAUAGACAUUCCAGCUGGGAUUGACUUUUGCCGGUGCAUGGCGAUGCAUGGCUAGCAAGGGAGUCGAAGAAACGAUGUGGAAUUAUGACAGACACGUACGCCUUCAGUCAGUGUCCUGAUCACUGGUCGAUGGUGCUGGGAGAAUUAGCUGUUCACGUGCGAGCUCGUCAUGGCUAAUCGGCUAUCUUUGCUAGCUCUGGCUUCGGGGCCAUGCAUGUGCCUAAAUUCUGGUAGAGCACAGUGGGCUGUCUAUGCACGGUUGGACGCACGCACGUACGCUGUUGUCCUCGGAGCAGUGCAUGUGCAUGCAUGAGUGCCUGCCAUCGAGAGGACAAUCCUCUGUCAUAUUACCAACACGUUACACAUGCACAUGUACUCAGCUGCUGUUUCCUGAAAUACAACAACGAAAUCCACGAAUUAAACAUGCAUAUAUACGUACGUAGAACGCCGGCCCUUGGAUUCGAAUGCUACUAAAUCCGACACGAGGGCGAAUCAACCUGUGGUUGAGUUGGUUAGGUGGACAGUGGUAUCUUCAACCCAUCAGGGUUCAAAUCCUGGUGCUCGCAUUAUUCCUGGAUUUAUUUCAGGAUUUUCGGCGAUGCGCUUUCAGUGGGAGGAGACGUUCCCGUCGACGACGAGUCGCCUACGGUGACUUCGUAAAUCUCAAGAUGAUAUGCCGGCUCAGUCUCUCGAAGGUGCUCAUAGGGGUAGGGUGUGCGUGCGUGCGUUCAUAGGAAUGAGUGUAUGCGCGUGUAUAUGAGCGCUUGUGUCUGUACUGAUGCUAAAAAAACCCCGAAGGCGAAGAUAUGGCAGGAACCACCUGCGAGCGUGUCCCUCCCUUUUCCCAUUUGGCCAUUUCCCACGUGGCGGCAGGGGUCAGCGAAUGAUCCUCCACCAAACCAGAGCCUCUCCCGCCCCAUCACCGCCAAAAGGCGGUGGGCCAGCGAACCCGAACCACCACCACACCGGGCGCUGCCACGCCGGUCGCGGCGGAUCAUUGGAUCCGUAUCGAACCUUCCCGAUGUGCCGAGGCAGGCGGACCAGGGCACGCUCCCGGCGACGCCGCUCCUCUCCGGGCACGGGCUCGCGCACGGGGGAUCCGCCGAUCCGAUCGCCCACCACCUGACGACGCACGGGACGUACGUACGUGCCCGCGUCCGGUGCGCGUGGCGCCCAGUUGCGCGUCGCGGUGCGUGGUGACCGUGGCCGGGGCGAGCAACCACGCGAUCUGGCACGCACUGUUGCUCCCCUUAAUUUCUACACGUUUUCCCUCUUUUCCUCGGUACCGACGUUUUUCCUCUCUCUUUCCGAGUAUUUCCCAUGGACAUUUCCGCCUGCCUUUACUUAUACUUUGAGUGGGCCGGGUUCCGAUUUUCCGAGUCAUCAUUGGUGCCGAGACAAGGCCCACUGUAGACCGCGGCACAUCGUAGCGAUCCACUAUAGCCAUCGGCACGGAGAUUUGGUGGUAAUACGUCCUGCUGCCCGGGAAAACAACAAGUGAGCUGCCACCCGGAUAAGAUAAAAUCAUCGCCCCCCGGCCUGAUGCAUAUAUGCCACUGGGAUCUCUGAUGAAGAUCCUUAGCACGACGCGUCUCUAUUAUUACGGCCUUUUUCUGGUACGGCGAUCUCUGCCAUUUGCGCCAGGAUCUUCCUCGCAAACAGAGUUAGACAUGAGGAUAUCCUUAUUACCGUGACGUUUUUUGCAUUGGCAUUGGGUUCACUUAGACACACGUACCGUCUUCCACAAAGGAAAAAAAAGCCGCCUUAAUUGAACGUGGAGUUUUUGCACGAAAAAAAACCCACGCCUUAAUGAGGAUAUGCUUCACUAAAAAAAAA
RNAcentral lists this long non-coding RNA (54936 nucleotides) under Triticum aestivum (bread wheat). RNAcentral's name for it is "long non-coding RNA (TAES_LNC020219)". The stretch from base 49672 to 49786 matches the Rfam family "MIR1120/MIR1122 microRNA precursor family". The record is from RNAcentral. Lineage: Eukaryota; Viridiplantae; Streptophyta; Magnoliopsida; Poales; Poaceae.